RNAcentral lists this long non-coding RNA (87759 nucleotides) under Triticum aestivum (bread wheat). RNAcentral's name for it is "long non-coding RNA (TAES_LNC009885)". Lineage: Eukaryota; Viridiplantae; Streptophyta; Magnoliopsida; Poales; Poaceae. The record is from RNAcentral.
UAAUCAAGAACCUACCCAAAUGGACUAUGACUUGAGGGGUCCAAAUUUUCCUACGUUUGAAGUUGGCAGAACAUCAAACCUCAACCCCAACAAGAAAAGAAAGGCAAAGAUGCAUGCCCAAAGCAAGAGGUCCGACAUUCACAACUUUUGACGAUAUCUUGUUGGUUAAAGCUUGGCUGGCUACACUCAUGGACCCGAUAUGUGACAGAGAGCAAAAGGGCAUUUUGUAUUGGAGAAGAUCCAUAAGCAUUAUCAUGAACAUGUGGAAUAUGCAGAGCCGCAUCCUAUCGUGACCACCCGUAAUGUGGUUCUCUCCAACAUUGAUGGGGGAUCAGUUAAGAGGAAGUGAACAAGUAUGUUGGCUACUAUAAACAAAUGAUUGGCCUCCCUCAAAGCGGGAUGGGAGUGUCAACUCCCAUAAGUUUAAUUGCUUCAUUUGUUAUCAUUUGAAUUGCGUUUUUUUCGCUUUCCAUUGUUAUACUUGUUUGUUAGAUGGUGGUGGCAGCCAUUAUGUAUUAACAAACGGAGAAGAAGCCAUUCCGUUUUGGCCAUUGUUGGGUGCUAUUGGAUGUUAAACCAAAGUGGACACAACUUGUGGAUGAUCUCAAGGCUGGCAAGAUGAAGAAUAAUGGCUUAAACUCCAACCAAUCAAUUGGAUUAGAUGAAUAAAUGGAGAAGUUGUAGGGGAGCAUGGAAAAGCCACCAUGCCAAUGAAUAAUCAGCAACUGAUGGGAAACAAGUGGGAGAAGGGUAGGGCCGCCCAUGACGCCGCGGUGACAAAAAUAUCGACCAGAUGGACGGGCAUUUUUUCCACAAGCGGGAACAAGAAAGAGGAGAGGUACAAGCUCAUGUUGGAUAUGCAAAAAAGAAAAGAUGAAUUGGGACCGAGAGAGGGUAAGCAACAUUUUGCUAAUUGAGAGCAACAAGUUGGCAAUUGAGAGGGAUAAGAUGGAGUUGAAGAAGAAAUAAGGAUGUCUCAAAUGGGAGAUUGGGAAUUCCAAAACCUUUGGAUCAAUAGAGAUCGAGAAUGAGAGGUUGCAACUUGCUCGAGACACGAAGGAUUUGAGAAUAAUGUUGGCGGAAGCAAGCCUCUUGAAUGAGCAAGCAAAGAUAUGUCUUGCCAGGAAGAAGUAGGAGACCAACUAAAGUAGGGACUACGAGGAGGUGAGAGAGGCGAUGGCAACAGCAGAGCUGGUGGCAUGGAUGGAGGUAGAGCAGGAUGCAGAGAUAGCAGCGGUAGAGGAGGCGGUAAGGAUGGCGCCCGAUGAGUGAUUCGGUCGGCGAUUGAUCCAUCACGCUCGGACUUGAAUUUAAUUUUGGCAUGUCUGGAUCAUUGAACUAUGAUUUAUUUUGCAUUGUUGAACUAUUCAAUUGUGAUGAAUUUCUGCUAUGUGAUCCACAUGCAUGGAUUGUAUGGAUUUAAGGGUUUGAAUUUGAAGUGUGUGACUAUCCGGUAGCCCAUAUGAGGGACAGUCCGCGCCAGGGCAUGUCCGCGGAUGUUUAAAGGUCAAAUUUGCAAAUUAUGGCAGUAGAUUCUCUUAGACCCCCGUAAAAGAUGCAAAGAUUUUUCCUAGAACCCAACACGAUCACCCACUCAACCUUGGGGAAGAGUCUAAUUGCACCAGCAACCUCGGCGGCUGAUACGUAUCCAACAUAUCUAUAAUUUUUCGAUUGUCUCAUGCUAUUAUAUUAUCUGUUUUGGAUGUUUUAUAUGCAUUAAUAUGCUAUUUUAUAUGAUUUUUGGGACUAGCCUAUUAACCUAGAGCCCAGUGCCAGUUCUUGUUUUUUCUUCUUAUUUUAGAGUUUCGUAGAAAAGCAGUACCAAACAGAGUCCAAACGGAAUGAAACUUUCGCGAUGAUUUUUCUUGGACCAGAAGACAUUCAGAGAGCUUGGAGUGCACGUCAGGAAAGCCACGAGGCAGACACAAGGUCGGGAGGCGCGCCCCCACCCUUGUGGGCCCCUCGUGACUCCACCGACCUAUUUCUUCCGCCUAUAUAUUCUCAAAUAUCUCAAAACCUUUCAGUGGAGCCACAAAACCACUUUUCCACCACCGCAACCUUCUGUACCCGUGAGAUCCCAUCUAGGGGCCUUUUGCAGCGUCCUGCCGGAGGGGGAUUCAAUCACGGAGGGCUUCUACAUCAACACCAUUGCCUCUUUGAUGAAGUGUGAGUAGUUUACCACAGACCUACGGGUCCAUAGCUGAAGGAAAUAUGCCCUAGAGGCAAUAAUAAAGUUAUUAUUUAUUUCCUUAUUUCAUGAUAAAUGUUUAUUAUUCAUGUUAGAAUUGUAUUAACCGGAAACAUAAUACAUGUGUGAAUACAUAGACAAACAGAGUGUCACUAGUAUGCCUCUACUUGACUAGCUCGUUGAUCAAAGAUGGUUAUGUUUCCUAACCAUAGACAUGAGUUGUCAUUUGAUAAACGGGAUCACAUCAUUAGGAUAAUGAUGUGAUUGACUUGACCCAUUCCGUUAGCUUAGCACUUGAUCAUUUUAGUUUACUGCUAUUGCUUUCUUCAUGACUUAUACAUGUUCCUAUGACUAUGAGAUUAUGCAACUCCCGAUUACCGGAGGAACACUUUGUGUGCUACCAAACGUCACAACGUAACUGGGUGAUUAUAAAGGUGCUCUACAGGUGUCUCCGAUGGUACUUGUUGAGUUGGCAUAGAUCGAGAUUAGGAUUUGUCACUCUGAUUGUCGGAGAGGUAUCUCUCGGCCCUCUCGGUAAUGCACAUCACUAUAAGCCUUGCAAGCAAUGUAACUAAUGAGUUAGUUGCGGGAUGAUGCAUUACGGAACGAGUAAGAGACUUGCCGAUAACGAGAUUGAACUAGGUAUUGAGAUACCGAUGAUCGAAUCUCGGGCAAGUAACAUACCGAUGACAAAGGGAACAAUGUAUGUUGUUACGCGGUUCGACCGAUAAAGAUCUUCGUAGAAUAUGUAGGAGCCAAUAUGGGCAUCCAAGUUCCACUGUUGGUUAUUGACCAGAGAAGUGUCUUGGUCAUGUAUACAUAGUUCUCGAACCCGUAGGGUCCGCACGCUUAACGUUCAUUGAAGAUAUAGUAUUUAUGAGUUAUGUAUGUUGGGAACCGAAUGUUGUUCGGAGUUCCGGAUAAGAUCACGGACAUGACGAGGAACUCCGGAAUGGUGUUUGGUCUACGGAAGGGGUUCCGGAUGUUUCCCGAAAUGUUUGGGUACGAGAACACUUUGUUUGGGCCAAAGGGGGAAAGCCCACAAGGUUUUUGGAAAGCGCGAAAGGAAGUUUUGCGGAGUCGAGGGGCCAGACGCCAGGGUCCCUCGCAUCUGGGUCCAGACUCCGGGAACCCUGGCGUCUGGCCCUGGAGUCCGAGAAGGACUCUUGCCUUUUAGGUGAAACCGACUUUGUGGAGGCUUUUACUCCAAGUUUCGACCCCAAGGCUCAACAUAUAAAUAGAGGGGUAGGGCUAGCACCCAAGACACAUCAAGAAACACCAAGCCGUGUGCCGGCAACCCCGUCCCCUCUAGGUUAUCCUCCGUAAUAGUUUUCGUAGUGCUUAGGCGAAGCCCUGCGGAGAUUGUUCUUCACCAACACCAUCACCACGUCGUCGUGCUGCCGGAACUCAUCUACUACUCCGCCCCUCUUGCUGGAUCAAGAAGGUGAGGACGUCAUCAAGCUAAACGUGUGCUGAAAGCGUAGGUGCCGUACGUUCGGUACUUGAUCAGGACGGAUCGUGAAGGUGUACGACUACAUCAACCGCGUUGAUAAAUGCUUCCGCUUUCGGUCUACGAGGGUACGUAGACAUACUCUCCCCUCUCGUUGCUAUGCAUCAACAUGAUCUUGCGUGUGCGUAGGAUUUUUUUUGAAAUUACUACAUUCCCCAACAGUGGCAUCCGAGCCAGGUUUAUGCGUAGAUGUUACGAGUAGAACACAAGUGAGUUGUGGGCGAUACAAGUCAUACUGCUUACCAGCAUGUCAUACUUUGUUCAGCGGUAUUGUUGGAUGAAGCGGCCCAGACCGACAUUACGUGUAUGCUUACGUGAGACUGGUUCUACCAACGUGCUUUGCACACAGGUGGCUGGCGGGUGUCAGUUUCUCCAACUUUAGUUGAACCGAGUGUGACUACGCCCGGUCCUUGUUGAAGGUUAAAACAACACUAACUUGACGAAAUAUCAUUGUGGUUUUGAUGCAUAGGUAAGAACGGUUCUUGCUCAGCCCGUAGCAGCCACAUAAAACUUGCAACAACAAAGUAGAGGACGUCUAAAUUGUUUUUGCAGGGUAUGUUGUGAUGUGAUAUGGUCAAGGCAUGAUACUAUAUUUUAUUGUAUGAGAUUAUCAUGUUUUGUAACAGAGUUAUCGGCAACAGGCAGGAGCCAUAUGGUUAUCGUUUUAUUGUAUGCAAUGCAAACGCCCUGUAAUUGCUUUACUUUAUCACUAAGCGGUAGCGAUAGUCGUAGAAGCAAUAGUUGGCAAGACGACAACGAUGCUACGAUGGAGAUCAAGGUGUCGCGCCGGUGACGAUGGUGAUCAUGACGGUGCUUUGGAGAUGGAGAUCACAGGCACAAGAUGAUGAUGGCCAUAUCAUAUCACUUAUAUUGAUUGCAUGUGAUGUUUAUCCUUUAUGCAUCUUAUUCUGCUUGAUUGACAAUAGCAUUAUAAGAUGAUCUAUCUCACUCAAUUUCAAGGUACAAGUGUUCUCCCUAAGUAUGCACCGUUGCCAAAGUUCGUCAUGCCGAGACACCACGUGAUGAUCGGGUGUGAUAAGCUCUACGUUCACAUACAACGGGUGCAAGCCAGUUUUGCACACGCAGAAAUACUCGGGUUAAACUUGACGAGCCUAGCAUAUGCAGAUAUGGCCUGGAACACUGAGACCGGAAGGACGAGCAUGAAUCAUAUAGUAGAUAUGAUCAACAUAGUGAUGUUCACCAUUGAAAACUACUCCAUUUCACGUGAUGAUCGGUCAUGGUUCAGUUGAUUUGGAUCACGUAAUCACUUAGAUGAUUAGAGGGAUGUCUAUCAAAGUGGAGUUCUUAAAUAUGAUCAAUUGAACUUUAAUUUAUCAUGAACAUAGUACCUGAUAGUAUUUUGCUUGCCUAUGUUGUUGUAGAUAGAUGGCACGUGUUGUUGUUCCGUUGAAUUUUAAUGCGUUCCUUGAGAAAGCAAAGUUGAAAGAUGAUGGUAGCAAUUACACGGACUGGGUCCGUAACUUGAGGAUUAUCCUCAUUGCUGCACAGAAGAAUUACGUCCUAGAAGCACCGCUAGGUGCCAAACCCAUUGCAGGAGCAACGCCAGAUGUUAUGAACGUCUGGCAGAGCAAAGCUGAUGACUACUCGGUAGUUCAGUGUGCCAUGCUUUACAGCUUAGAACUGGGACUUCAAUGACGUUUUGAACAUCAUGGAGCAUAUGAGAUGUUCCAGGAGCUGAAGUUAAUAUUUCAAGCAAAUGCCCAGAUUGAGAGAUAUGAAGUCUCCAAUAAGUUCUACAGCUACAAGAUGGAGGAGAAUAGUUCUGUCAGUGAACAUAUACUCAGAAUGUCUGGGUACCAUAACCACUUGACUCAACUGAGAGUUAAUCUUCCUGUUGAUAGUGUCAUUGACAGAGUUCUUCAAUCACUGCCACUAGGCUACAAGAGCUUCAUGAUGAACCAUAAUAUGCAAGGGAUGGAUAAGAAGAUUCCCGAGCUCUUCACAAUGCUAAAAGUUGUGGAGGUAGAAAUCAAGAACGAGCAUCAAGUGUUGAUGGUCAACAAGACCACCAAUUUCAAGAAAAAGGGUAAAGGGAAGAAGAAUAUCUGAGUAAUAUCUUUUAUGGUCAUGCACCCUUGAAGAGUGGUCUAUUUUUAAUGAAUCUCGAUAGUAAUGAUACGCAUAUUCAUAAUAUUGAACCUAAAAGAUGCAGAGUUGAUAAUGAUAGUGCAACUUAUUUGUGGCACUGUCGUUUAGGUCAUAUUGGUGUAAAGUGCAUGAAGAAACUCCAUUCUAAUGGACUUUUGGAAUCGCUUGAUUAUGAAUCUCUUGGUACUUGCGAACCGUGCCUCAUGGGCAAGAUGACUAAAACGCCGUUCUCCGGAACUAUGGAGCGAGCAACAGAUUUGUUGGAAAUCAUACAUACUGAUGUAUGUGGUCCGAUGAAUAUUGAGGCUCGCGGUGGGUAUCGUUAUUUUCUUACCUUCACAGAUGAUUUGAGCAGAUAUGGGUAUAUCUACUUGAUGAAACAUAAGUCUGAAACAUUUGAAAGUUCAAAGAAUUUCAGAGUGACGUGCAAAAUCAUCGUAACAAGAAAAUAAAGUUUGUACGAUCUGAUCGUGGAGGAGAAUAUUUGAGUUACGAGUUUGGUCUUCAUUUGAAACAAUGCGGAGUAGUUUCGCAACUCACGCCACCUGGAACACCACAGCGUAAUGGUGUGUCCGAACGUCGUAAUCAUACUUUACUAGAUAUGGUGCGAUCUAUGAUGUCUCUUACUGAUUUACCGCUAUAGUUUUGGGGGUUACGCUUUAGAGACAACUGCAUUCACGUUAAAUAGGGCACCAUCUAAAUCCGUUGAGACGGCGGCUUGUGAACUAUGGUUUGGCAAGAAACCAAAGUUGUCGUUUCUUAAAGUUUGGGGUUGCGAGGCUUAUGUGAAAAAGUUUCAACCUGAUAAACUCGAACCCAAAUCAGAGAAAUGUGUCUUCAUAGGAUACCCAAAGGAGACUGUUGGGUACACCUUCUAUCAUAGAUCCGAAGGCAAGACAUUUGUUGCUAAGAAUGGAUCCUUUCUAGAGAGGGAGUUUCUCUCGAAAGAAGUGAGUGGGAGGAAAGUAGAACUUGAUGAGGUAACUGUACCUACUCCCUUAUUGGAAAGUAGUCCAUCACAGAAACCGGUUCCUGUGACACCUACACCAAUUAGUGAGGAAGCCAAUGAUGAUGAUCAUGAAACUUCAGAUCAAGUUACUACCAAACCUCGUAGGUCAACCAGAGUAAGAUCCGCACUAGAGUGGUACGGUAAUCCUGUUCUGGAGGUCAUGUUACUUGACCAUGACGAACCUACGAACUAUGAUGAAGCGAUGAUGAGCCCAGAUUCGGCAAAAUCGCUUAAGACUGAUACGUCUCCAACGUAUCUAUAAUUUUUUAUUGCUCCAUGCUAUAUUAUCUACUGUUUUGGACAUUAUUGGGCUAUAUUAUCCACUUUUAUAUUAUUUUUGGGACUAACCUAUUAACCGGAGGCCCUGCCCAGAAUUGUUGUUUUUUUUGCCUAUUUUAGGGUUUCGAAGAAAAGGAAUAUCAAACGAAGUCCAAAUGGAAUGAAACCUUCGGGAAUGUGAUUUUCUCACCGAACAUGAUCCAGGAGACCUGGACCCUACGUCAAGAAAUAAAGGAGGAGGCCACAAGGUAGGGGGGCGCGCCUACCCCCCAGGCGCGCCCUCCACCCUUGUGGGCCCCCUGUUGCUCCAGCGAUGUACUCCUUCCUCCUAUAUAUACCUACAUACCCCCAAACGAUCAGAUACGGAGCCAAAACCCUAAUUCCACCGCCGCAACUUUCUGUAUCCACGAGAUCCCAUCUUGCGGCCUAUUCCGAAGCUCCGCCGGAGGGGGUAUCCAUCACGGAGGGCUUCUACAUCAACACCAUAGCCCCUCCGAUGAAGUGUGAGUAGUUCACCUCAGACCUACGGGUCCAUAGUUAUUAGCUAGAUGGCUUCUUCUCUCUUUCUGGAUCUCAAUACAAUGUUCUCCCCGUCUCUUGUGGAGAUCUAUUCGACGUAAUCUUCUUUUUGCGGUGUGUUUGUUGAGACUGAUGAAUUGUGGGUUUAUGAUCAAGUCUAUCUAUCAACAAUAUUUGAAUCUUCUCUGAAUUCUUUUAUGUAUGAUUGGUUAUCUUUGCAAGUCUCUUCGAAUUAUCAGUUUGGUUUGGCCUACUAGAUUGAUCUUUCUUGCAAUGGGAGAAGUGCUUAGCUUUGGGUUCAAUCUUGCGGUGUCCUUUCCCAGUGACAGUAGGGGAAGCAAGGCACGUAUUGUAUUGUUGCCAUCAAGGAUAACAAGAUGGGGUUUUCAUCAUAUUGCAUGAGUUUAUCCCUCUACAUCAUGUCAUCUUGCUUAAGGCGUUACUCUGUUUUCAUGAACUUAAUACUCUAGAUGCAUGCUGGAUAGCGGUCGAUGAGUGGAGUAAUAGUAGUAGAUGUAGGCAGGAGUUGGUCUACUUGUCUUGGACGUGAUGCCUAUAUACAUGAUCAUACCUAGAUAUUCUCAUAACUAUGCUCAAUUCUGUCAAUUGCUCAACAGUAAUUCGUUCACCCACCGUAAAAUACCUAUGCUCUUGAGAGAAGCCACUAGUGAAACCUAUGGCCCCCGGGUCUAUAUUCAUCAUAUUAAUCUUCCAAUACUUAGUUAUUUCCUUCACUUUUAUUUUACUUUGUAUCUUUAUCACAAAAAUACCAAAAAUAGUAUCUUAUCAUAUCUAUCAGAUCUCACUCUCGUAAGUAGCUGUGUAGGGAUUGACAACCCCUUAUCACGUUGGUUGUGAGGAUUUAUUUGUGUUGUGCAGGUGUGAGGGACUCGCGCGUAGCCUCCUACUGGAUUGAUACCUUGGUUCACAAAAACCGAGGGAAAUACUUACGCUACUUUGCUGCAUCAUCCCUUCCUCUUCAGGGAAAACCAACGUAGUGCUCAAGAGGUAGCAAAGACCAUGAAAUCUGAGAUGGGAUCCAUGUAUGAGAACAAAGUGUUGACUUUGGUUGACUUGUCCGAUGAUCAGCAAGCCAUCGAGAAUAAAUGGAUCUUCAAGAAGAAGACUGACGCCGACGGUAACGUUACUGUCUACAAAGCUCGACUUGUUGCGAAAGGUUUUCGACAAGUUCAAGGAGUUGACUAUGAUGAGACCUUCUCACCCGUAGCGAUGCUUAAGUCCAUCUGAAUCAUGUUAGCAAUUGCCGCAUUUUAUGAUUAUGAAAUUUGGCAAAUGGAUGUAAAGACUGCAUUCCUGAAUGGAUUUCUAGAAGAAGAGUUGUAUAUGAUGCAACCUGAAGGUUUUAUCGAUCCAAAUGGUGCUAACAAAGUGUAAAAGCUCUAGUGAUCCAUUUAUGGACUGGUGCAAGCCUCUCGGAGUUGGAAUAAACGUUUUGAUAGUGUGAUCAAAACAUAUGGUUUUAUACAGACUUUCAGAGAAGCCUGUAUUUACAAGAAAGUUAGUGGGAGCUCUGUAGCAUUUCUAAUAUUAUAUGUGGAUGACAUAUUGUUGAUUGGAAAUGAUAUAGAAUUUCUGGAUAGCAUAAAAGGAUACUUGAAUAAGAGUUUUUCAAUAAAAGACCUUGGUGAAGCCGCUUAUAUAUUGGGCAUCAAGAUUUAUAGAGAUAGAUCAAGACGCUUAAUUGGACUUUCACAAAGCACAUACCUUGACAAAGUUUUGAAGAAGUUCAAAAUGGAUCAAGCUAAGAAAGGGUUCUUGCCUGUGUUACAAGGUGUGAAGUUGAGUAAGAAUCAAUGCCCGACCACUGCAGAAGAUAGAGAGAAAAUGAAAAGUGUUCCCUAUGCUUCAGCCAUAGGCUCUAUCAUGUAUGCAAUGCUGUGUACCAGACCUGAUGUGUGCCUUGCUAUUAGUUUAACAGGGAGGUACCAAAGUAAUCCAGGAGUGGAUCACUGGAUAGCGGUCAAGAACAUCCUGAAAUACCUGAAAAGGACUAAGGAUAUGUUUCCCGUUUAUGGAGGUGACAAAGAGCUCGCUGUAAAUGGUUACGUCGAUGCAUGCUUUGACACUGAUCCGGACGAUUCAAAAUCGCAAACCGGAUACGUGUUUAUAUUGAACGGUGGAGCUAUCAGUUGGAGCAGUUCUAAACAAAACGUCGUGGCGGGAUCUACGUGUGAAGCGUGAUACGUCCAUUUUGCGUCAUGCUUUUAUAUCGAUAUUUAUUGCAUUAUGGGCUGUUAUUACACAUUAUGUCACAAUACUUAUGCCUAUUCUCUCUUAUUUUACAAGGUUUACAUAAAGAGGGAGAAUGCUGGCAGCUAGGAUUCUGGGCUGGAAAAGGAGCAAAUAUUAGAGACCUAUUCCGCACAGCUCCAAAAGUCCUGAAACUUCACGGAAGUCAUUUUCAGAAUAUAUAAAAAAUACUGAGCACAAGAAGUUCACCAGGGGGCCACACCAUGCCGACGAGGGUGGGGGCGCGCCCUACCCCCUGGGCGCACCCCCUACCUCGUGGGGCCCCUGGUGGCCCUCCGAUGUCCAUCUUCUGCUAUAUGGAGUCUUUCGAUGAGGAAAAAAUCAUAAGCCAACUUUCCGGAUGAGACUACGCCGCCACGAGGCGGAACCUUGGCGGAAUCAAUCUAGGGCUCUAGCGGAGCUGUUCUGUCGGGGAAACUUCCCUACGGGAGGGGGAAAUCAUCGCCAUCGUCAUCACCAACGAUCCUCUCAUCGGGAGGGGGUCAAUCUCCAUCAACAUCUUCACCAGCACCAUCUCCUCUCAAACCCUAGUUCAUCUCUUGUAUCCAAUUCUUGUCUCCAAGUCUGGGAUUGGUACCUAUGGGUUGCUAGUAGUGUUGAUUACUCCUUGUAGUUGAUGCUAGUUGGUUUAUUUGGUGGAAUAUCAUAUGUUCAGAUCCUAUAUGCAUAUUAAUACCCCUAUGAUUAUGAACAUGAAUAUGCUUUGUGAGUAGUUACGUUUGUUCCUGAGGACAUGGGAGAAGUCUUGCUAUUAGUAGUCAUGUGAAUUUGGUAUUCGUUCGAUAUUUUGAUGAGAUGUAUGUUGUCUCUCCUCUAGUGGUGUUAUGUGAACGUCGACUACAUGACACUUCACCAUUAUUUGGGACUAGAGGAAGGCAUUGGGGAGUAAUAAGUAGAUGAUGGGUUGCUAGAGUGACAAAAGUUUAAACCCUAGUUUAUGCGUUGCUUCGUAAGGGGUUGAUUUGGAUCGACAUGUUUCAUGCUAUGGUUAGGUUUACCUUAAUACUUUUAUUGUAGUUCUGGAUGCUUGCAAUAGAAGUUAAUCAUAAGUGGGAUACUUGUCCAAGUAAGGGCAGUACCCAAUCACCGGUCCACCCACAUACCAAAUUAUCAAAGUACCGAAUGCGAAUCAUAUGAUCGUGAUGAAAACUAGCUUGGCGAUAAUUCCCAUGUGUCCUCGGGAGCGCUUUUCUCUAUAUAAGAGUUUGUCCAGGCUUGUCCUUUGCUACAAAAAGGAUUGGGCCACCUCGCUACACUUUAUUUACUUUUGUUACUUUUUUCUCGUUACAAAUUAUCUUAUCACAAAACUAUCUGUUACCUAUACUUUCAGUGCUUGCAGAGAAUACCUUGCUGAAAACCGCUUAUCAUUUCCUUCUGCUCCUCGUUGGGUUCGACACUCUUACUUAUCGAAAGGACUACGAUAGAUCCCCUAUACUUGUGGGUCAUCAAGACUCUUUUCUGGCGCCAUUGUCGGGGAGUGAAGCGCCUUUGGUAGGUGGAAUUUGGUAAGGAAAAAUUUAUAUAGUGUGCUGAAAUUUACUGUCACUUGUUACUAUGGAAAGUAAUCCUCUGAGGGGCUUGUUCGGGGUAUCUUCACCCCGACCAGAAGAGCAAAGAGUUGCUCCUCAACCUAUUGAACCUACUGAAAAUGAAAAUGUCUACUUUGAGAUUCCUUCGGGUAUGAUAUAAAAACUGCUAGCUAAUCCUUUUGCAUGAGACGGAACAAUGCAUCCUGAUGAGCACCUAAUAUAUGUGGAUGAAGUUUGUGGAUUAUUUAAGCUUGCAGGUGUGCCCGAUGAUGUUAUUAAGAAGAAGGUCUUCCCUUUAUCUUUGAAGGGAGAUGCAUUGACAUGGUAUAGGCUAUGUGAUGAUAUGGGAUCAUGGAACUACAAAUGAUUGAAAUUGGAAUUUCAUCAGAAGUUUUAUCCUAUGCAUCUUGUUCAUCGUGAUCGUAAUUAUAUAUAUAAUUUUUGGCCUUGCAAAGGAGAAAGCAUCACUCAAGCUUGUGGGAGGCUUAAGUCAAUGUUAUAUUCAUGCCCCAAUCAUGAGCUCUCAAGAGAAAUUAUUAUUCAAAAUUUAUAUGCCCGGCUUUCUGAUAACAAUCGCACCAUGCUCGAUACUUCUUGUGCUGGCUCUUUUAUGAUGAAGACUAUUGAAUUCAAAUGGGAUUUAUUGGAAAGAAUGAAACGCAACUCUGAAGAUUGGGACCUCGAUGAAGGUAAGGAGUCAGGUAUGACACCUAAGUUUGAUUAUGUUAAAUCUUUUAUGGAUACCGAUGUUUUCCAUAAAUUUAGCACUAAAUAUGGACUUGACUCUGAAAUAGUAGCUUCUUUCUGUGAAUGUUUUGCUACUUGAUCUCCCUAGGGAGAAGUGGUUUAAAUAUCGUCCCCCCAUAGAAGUAAAAGUAGCUGCACCUAUUAAAGUUGAAGAAAAGACUGUCACUUAUAAUGAUCCUAUUGUUCCUACUGCUUAUGUUGAGAAACCACAUUUUCCUGUUAGAAUAAAAGAUCAUGCUAAAGCUUCAACUGUGGUUCGCAAAAGCAAUAUUAGAAUCUAUACACCUCCUGAGCAAGUUAAACUUGAACCUAAUAUUGCUAUUGUUAAAGAUCUCUUGUCUGAUAAUAUUGAUGGGCAUGUUAUUCAUUUCUGUGAUGAGACUGCUAGAAUUGCUAAACCUUGUGCUAAAGAUAAACAUAGACCUGUGGUAGGCAUGCCUGUUAUUUCUAUUAAAAUAGGAAAUCAUUGUUAUCACGGCUUAUGUGAUAUGGGUGCCAGUGCCAGUGUUAUACCUCAUGACUUAUACAAAGAAAUUAUGCAUGAUAUUGCACCUGCUGAGAUAGAAGAUAUUGAUGUUACAAUUAAACUUGCCAAUAGAGAUACUAUUUCACCAAUUGGGAUUGUUAGAGAUGUUGAAGUCUUGUGUGGGAAAACUAAAUAUCCUGCUGAUUUCUUGUUCUUGGUUCCUGAUACGUCUCCAACGUAACUAUAAUUUUUGAUUGCUCCAUGCUACAUUAUCUUCUAUUUUGGACAUUAUUGGGCUUUAAUAUCCACUUUUAUAUUAUUUUUGGGACUAACCUAUUGACCUAGAGCCCACUGCCAGCUCCUGUUUUUUCCCUUGUUUCAGUGUUUCGAAGAAAAGGAAUAUCAAACGGAGUCGGAACGGAAUGAAACCUUCUGGAGAAGUUAUUUUUGGAAGGAAAGCGACCUGAUAGACUUGGAGUGCACGUUAGGAAAGAAACGAGGGACCACGAGGCAGGGGGGCGCGCCCACCCCCCUAGGGCGCGCCCUCCACCCUCGUGGGCCCCUCAUGGCUCCCCUGAUGUAUUUAUUCCGCCUAUAUAUAUCCAUAUACCCUAAAACUAUCGGGGAAUACAAUAGAUCGGGAGUUCCACCUCCAGAAGCCUCCGUAGCCACCGAAAACCAAUCUAGACCCGUUCGGGCACCCUGCCGGAGGGGGCAAUCCCUCUCCGGUGGCCAUCUUCAUCAUCCCGGUGCUCUCCAUGACGAGGAGGGAGUAGUUCUCCCUCGGGGCUGAGGGUAUGUACCAGUAGCUAUGUGUUUGAUCGCUCUCUCUCGUGUUCUUGAGGUGGUACGAUCUUGAUGUAUCGCAAGCUUUGCUAUUAUAGUUGGAUCUUAUGAUGUUUCUUCCCCCCCUCUACUCUCUUGUAAUGGAUUGAGUUUUCCCUUUGAAGUUAUCUUAUCGGAUUGAGUCUUUAAGGAUUUGAGAACACUUGAUGUAUGUCUUGCCGUGCUUAUCUGUGGUGACAAUGGGAUAUCACGUGAUCCACUUGAUGUAUGUUUUGGUGAUCAACUUGCGGGUUCCGCCCAUGAACCUAUGCAUAGGGGUUGGCACUCAUUUUCGUCUUGACUCUCCGGUAGAAACUUUGGGGCACUCUUUGAGGUCCUAUGUGUUGGUUGAAUAGAUGAAUCUGAGAUUGUGUGAUGCAUAUCGUAUAAUCAUACCCACGGAUACUUGAGGUGACAUUGGAGUCUCUAGGUGACAUUAGGGUUUUGGUUGAUUUGUGUCUUAAGGUGUUAUUCUAGUACAAACUCUAGGGCUGUUUGUGACACUUAUAGGAAUAGCCCAACGGAUUGAUUGGAAAGAAUAACUUUGAGGUGGUUUCGUACCCUACCAUAAUCUCUUCGUUUGUUAUCCGCUUUUAGUGACUUUGGAGUGACUCUUUGUUGCAUGUUGAGGGAUAGUUAUGUGAUCCAAUUAUGUUAUUAUUGUUGAGGGAACUUGCACUAGUGAAAGUAUGAACCCUAGGCCUUGUUUCAACGCAUUGCAAUACCAUUUGUGCUCACUUUUAUCAUUAGUUACCUUGCUAUUUUUAUAUUUUCAUAUUACAAAAACCUUUAUCUACCAUCCAUAUUGCACUUUACCAUUGUAUUGGGUGUGUUGGGGACACAAGAGACUCUUUGUUAUUUGGUUGCAGGGUUGCUUGAGAGAGACCAUCUUCAUCCUACGCCUCCUACGGAUUGAUAAACCUUAGGUCAUCCACUUGAGGGAAAUUUUCUACUGUCCUACAAACCUCUGCACUUGGAGGCCCAACAACGUCUACAAGAAGAAGGUUGUGUAGUAGACAUCAAGCUCUUUUCUGGCGCCGUUGCCGGGGAGGUGAGUGCUUGAAGGUAUAUCUUUAGAUAUUGCAAUCGAGUCUUUUAGUUUCGUGUUUUAUCAUUAGUUUAGUUUAUAAAAGAAAAUUACAAAAAAUGGAAUUAAGUUUGCCUCAUACGCUUCAUCUUUUUAAUAUCUUUCGUGAGUAUGAUGGAAAGGAAAAUUGUGCCAAAGUGUUAGAAGAAGAAUGCAUUAAAAUGUUUGGCACUAAAUCUUUGAAUGAUGAGCAUGAUUGCAAUGUUGUUAGUAUGAAAUCCUUGAAUAUCCAUAGUACCAAUGAUGAUUGCACUAGUUAUGAUGAAAAUGUCUCCUAUAAACAUGUCAAUUUUUGUGGAGCGCAUUGGGUUUGCAAGUACAGACCAAUUAGGGAAGAUAGAUUUGGCAAGAGGCAUAAGUACUUAGAAACUAAAUUGUUGCAAGAAAGGCUAGAUGUUUGUGCUAAAAAUUUAAAUUUUCUUGGCCAUACUUGUGAGCUUUGCAAUGAACAUGGUCAUUUAACCGUCCGAUGCAAAUUGUUUCAUGAUCUAAUCAUUUCCAAAAAUUGUGAUGACUUGAUUUCUCUUGCACAUCAUAAUGAACUUAGUUUGCUUAUGGGUUACGAAGAAAUGAAACGUAUAACUAUCUUCUAGUAUUUGCCUGUGAUAAACUUCUUGGCUUUGAUCUAUAGGAAAUUUAUAUGUAUUGUGCGGUGAAUUGCAUUGAAAACCCUUAUAUUGCCAACUACAUAAAGAAAAGAAAACAAAUAGAAGAUGAAGAGAAUACUAAUGAAAGGGAAGAGACUUCCGAAUACCCUCCUAUUAUUUCUUAUGAUGAAUCAGGUAACGAGGAGGAGCCUUCUAUUCAACCAAUCUCANNNNNNNNNNNNNNNNNNNNNNNNNNNNNNNNNNNNNNNNNNNNNNNNNNNNNNNNNNNNNNNNNNNNNNNNNNNNNNNNNNNNNNNNNNNNNNNNNNNNNNNNNNNNNNNNNNNNNNNNNNNNNNNNNNNNNNNNNNNNNNNNNNNNNNNNNNNNNNNNNNNNNNNNNNNNNNNNNNNNNNNNNNNNNNNNNNNNNNNNNNNNNNNNNNNNNNNNNNNNNNNNNNNNNNNNNNNNNNNNNNNNNNNNNNNNNNNNNNNNNNNNNNNNNNNNNNNNNNNNNNNNNNNNNNNNNNNNNNNNNNNNNNNNNNNNNNNNNNNNNNNNNNNNNNNNNNNNNNNNNNNNNNNNNNNNNNNNNNNNNNNNNNNNNNNNNNNNNNNNNNNNNNNNNNNNNNNNNNNNNNNNNNNNNNNNNNNNNNNNNNNNNNNNNNNNNNNNNNNNNNNNNNNNNNNNNNNNNNNNNNNNNNNNNNNNNNNNNNNAGAAGAAGAAGAAGAAGAAGAAGAAGAAGAAGAAGAAGAAAAGAAAAGAAAAAGGAAGAGAGGUAAAAAGAUAUCACUCCCAAAUAAUGCUGUCCCUAUUAUUGUUGUGCCUCAUGAAAAUAUAAUUGUGGAAGAUGAUGCACUUGAUGAUGAUCUCGUUAUGCCUAUUUCUUGUUGUGAUGACUAUGAUUGGGAAGAUAAUGAUACUUCUUAUGAUCUUGAAAAUCUUUUUGGCACUUGCUUGGAAGAAUAUGAUAAUUGCUAUACUAUUGGUGUUAUCCAUACUAUUGAUGAUGAAAGUGAUUAUGCUUAUGAUAUGAAAAGGCCCAAGCUUGGGGAUGCUAUGUUUGAAGAAGAUGAUGUUUUUGAGAAUAUAUUUGCUGCAAUUAAUGUUUGUCCCAAGCUUGGGGAUGCUACGUUUAAUGAAGAUGAUAUUUUUAGUCUCCCAAGUUUUGAUAUGCAAAUUUAUAAUGAUGAUAGCAUGCCUCCUACUUAUGAUGAUUACAUUGAUGAAAGUGGAUUUGGAGAGGUCAUGACUUUAUUUAGUAAUGAUUCCACUAUCUUGGAAGAGGUUUCAAUUGAUUAUGAUGAGAACAAAGUUGCUACUUAUGAUAAUUAUUGUGAUGAUACAUAUGCUAUAAAAAGUAGUGAUGAUUAUAUUUAUAAAACUUGUCAUGAUUAUGAUUACCCUUUUUCUGAACAUUGCUCUUUUAAUGUGGAAACAAUUUAUAGUAUUCGAGUCUCUUAUGAUACUCCCACUAUUCUGAAUGAGGAUAAUCUUGCUUAUGUGGAGAGUAGUAAAUUUUCUAUGCUUGUAGAUCAUGAAAAGAAUGUUUUAGGUGAUGGUUAUAUUGUUGAAUUCAUUCAUGAUGCUACUGAAAAUUAUUAUGAGGGAGGAACUUAUGCUUGUAGGAAUUGCAAUAAUAUCAAGUUUCCUCUCUAUGUGCUUAAAGUUUUGAAGUUAUGCUUGUUUUACCUUCCUAUGCAAGUUGAUUCUUGUUCCCACAAGUUGUUUUCUCACAAGAUCCCUAUGCAUAGGAAGUGGGUUAGACUUAAAUGUGCUAGUCAUAUUAUUCAUGAUGCUCUCUUUAUGUUUCAAUUCUUAUCCUUUAUGUGAGUAUCAUUGAAAUCAUCAUGCCUAGCUAGGGGCGUUAAACAAUAGCGCUUGUUGGGAGGCAACCCAACUUUAUUUUUGUUCCUUGCUUUUUGUUCCUGUUUAGUAAUAAAUAAUUCAUCUAGACUCUGUUUAGAUGUGGUUUUAUGCUUUUAAUUAGUGUUUGUGCCAAGUAGAACCUUUGGGAAGACUUGGGGAAAGUCUUGUUGAUCUUGCUGUAAAAAACAGAAACUUUAGCACUCACGAGAAUUGCUGCCAUUUUUAUUUGGAUAGUGAUAUUUAGUUAAUUAUUUUUUCAGAUGAUUAAUAGAUAAAUUCCCCAGGUACACCAAUUUAUUUGAUAAUUUUAUGAGUUCCAUAAGUAUACGUUUGAUCCAGAUUACUACAGAUUGUUCUGUUUUUGACAGAUUCUGUUUUCUAUGUGUUGUUUGCUUAUUUUGAUGAAUCUAUGAGUAGUAUCGGAGGGUAUGAACCAUAGAUAAGUUGGGAUACAGAAGAUAUUACACAAAUAUGAAUUUAGAAUGAGUUCACAACAGUACCUAAGUGGUGAUUUAUUUUCUUAUACUAACGGAGCUCACGAGUUUUCUGUUAUGUUUUGUGUUGUGAAGUUUUCAAGUUUUGGGUAAAGAUUCGAUGGACUAUGGAAUAAGGAGUGGCAAGAGACUAAGCUUGGGGAUUGCCAAGGCACCCCAAGGUAAUAUUCAAGGACAACCAAAAGCCUAAGCUUGGGGAUGCCCCGGAAGGCAUCCCCUCUUUCGUCUUCGUUCAUCGGUAACUUUACUUGGAGCUAUAUUUUUAUUUACCACAUGAUAUGUGUUUUGCUUGGAGAGUCAUUUUAUUUUAUUUAGUUUUGCUUGCUGUUUGAAUAAAAUACCAAGAUAUUAAAUUAUUAAAUGUUAGAGAGUCUUCAUCUAGUUGCAUAAUUAUUCAACUACUCAUUGAUCUUCACUUAUAUCUUUCGGAGUAGUUUGUUGUUGCUCUAGUGCUUCACUUAUAUCUUUUAGAGCACGGUGGUGGUUUUAUUUUAUAGAAAUAGAUGAACUAUCAUGUGUCACUUAUAUUAUUUUGAGAGUCUUAAACAGCAUGGUAAUUUGCUUAGGUUAUGAAUUUAGUCCUAAUAUGAUGGGCAUCCAAGAGGGAUAUAAUAAAAACUUUCAUAUGAAGUGCAUUGAAUACUAUGAGAAGUUUGAUACUUGAUGAUUGUUUUGAGAUAUGAGGAUGGUAAUAUUAGAGUCAUGCUAGUGAGUAGUUGUGAAUUUUAAAGAUACUUGUGUUAAAGUUUGUGAUUCCCGUAGCAUGCACGUAUGGUGAACCGUCAUGUGAUGAAGUCGGAGCAUGAUUUAUUCAUUGAUUGUCUUCCUUAUGAGUGGCGGUCGGGGACGAGCGAUGGUCUUUUCCUACCAAUCUAUCCCCCUAGGAGCAUGCGUGUAGUACUUUGUUUCGAUAACUAAUAAAUUUUUGCAAUAAGUAUAUGAGUUCUUUAUGAAUAAUGUUGAGUCCAUGGAUUAUACGCACUCUCACCCUUCCACCAUUGCUAGCCUCUCUAAUACCGCGCACCUUUCGCCGGUAUCAUAAACCCACCAUGUACCUUCCUCAAAACAGCCACCAUACCUACCUAUUAUGGCAUUUCCAUAGCCAUUCUGAGAUAUAUUGCCAUGCAACUUUCCACCGUUCCGUUUAUUAUGACACGUUUCAUCAUUGUCAUAUUGCUUUGCAUAAUCAUAUAGUUGACAUCGUAUUUGUGGCAAAGCCACCGUUCAUAAUUCUUUCAUACAUGUCACUCUUGAGUCAUUGCACAUCUCGGUACACCGCUGGAGGCAUUCAUAUAGAGUCAUAUCUUGUUCUAAAUAUCGAGUUGUAAUUCUUGAGUUGUAAGUAAAUAAAAGUGUGAUGAUCAUCAUUAUUAGAGCAUUGUCCCAGUGAGGAAAGGAUGAUGGAGACUAUGAUUCCCCCACAAGUUGGGAUGAGACUCUGUACGAAAAAAAGAGGCCAAAGAAGCCCAAAUUAAAAAAAGAGAAAAGAGGCAUAAAAAAGAGAAGGCCCAAACAAAAUAAUAAUAAUAAUAAUAAUAAAUGAGAGAAAAAGAGAGAAGGGGCAAUGCUACUAUCCUUUUACCACACUUGUGCUUCAAAGUAGCACCAUGAUCUUCAUGAUAGAGAGUCUCCUAUGUCGUCACUUUCAUAUAGUAGUGGGAAUCUUUAAUUAUAGAACUUGGCUUGUAUAUUCCAAUGAUGGGCUUCCUCAAAAUGCCCUAGGUCUUCGUGAGCAAGCGAGUUGGAUGCACACCCACUUAGUUUCUUUUUGAGCUUUCAUACACUUAUAGCUCUAGUGCAUCUGUUGCAUGGCAAUCCCUACUCACUCACAUUGAUAUCUAUUGAUGGGCAUCUCCAUAGCCCUUUGAUACGCCUAGUUGAUGUGAGACUAUCUUCUCCUUUUUGUCUUCUCCACAACCACCAUUCUAUUCCACAUAUAGUGCUAUGUCCAUGGCUCACGCUCAUGUAUUGCGUGAAGAUUGAAAAAGUUUGAGAACAUCAAAAGUAUGAAACAAUUGCUUGGAUUGUCACCGGGGUUGUGCAUGAUUUAAAUAUUUUGUGUGGUGAAGAUUGAGCAUAGCCAGACUAUAUGAUUUUGUAGGGAUAGCUUUCUUUAGCCAUGUUAUUUUGAGAAGACAUGAUUACUUGGUUAGUAUGCUUGAAGUAUUUUUAUUUUUAUGUCAAUACUAAACUUUUGUCUUGAAUCUUUCGGAUCUGAAUAUUCAUACCACAAUUAAGAAGAAUUACAUUGAAAUUAUACCAAGUAGCACUCCGCAUAAAAAAUUCUGUUUUUAUCAUUUACCUACUCGAGGACGGGCAGGAAUUAAGCUUGGGAAUGCUGAUACGUCUCCAACGUAUCUAUAAUUUUUGAUUGCUCCAUGCUAUAUUAUCUUAUGUUUUGGACAUUAUUGGGCUUUAUUAUCCACUUUUAUAUUAUUUUUGGGACUAACCUAUUGACCUAGAGCCCAGUGCCAGUUCCUGUUUUUCCCUUGUUUCAGUAUUUCGAAGAAAAGGAAUAUCAAAUAGAGUCGAAACGGAAUGAAACCUUCUAGAGAAGUUAUUUUUGGAAGGAAAGCUAUCCGAUAGACUUGGAGUGCAUGUCAGGAAAGAAACGAGGGAACCACGAGGCAGGGGGCGCGCACACCCCCUAGGGCGCGCCCUCCACCCUCGUGGGCCCCUCGUGGCUCCCCUGAUGUAUUUCUUCCGCCUAUAUAUAUCCAUAUACCCUAAAACUAUCGGGGAACACAAUAGAUCAGGAGUUCCGCCGCCAGAAGCCUCCGUAGCCACCGAAAACCAAUCUAGACCCGUUCUGGCACCCUGCCGGAGGGGGCAAUCCCUCUCCAGUGGCCAUCUUCAUCAUCCCGGUGCUCUCCAUGACGAGGAGGGAGUAGUUCUCCCUCGGGGCUGAGGGUAUGUACCAGUAGCUAUGUGUUUGAUCUCUCUCUCUCGUGUUCUUGAGGUGGUAUGAUCUUGAUGUAUCGUGAGCUUUGCUAUUAUAGUUGGAUCUUAUGAUGUUUCUUCCCCCUCUACUCUCCUGUAAUGGAUUGAGUUUUCCCUUUGAAGUUAUCUUAUCGGAUUGAGUCUUUAUGUUUUUGAAAACACUUGAUGUAUGUCUUGCCGUGCUUAUCUGUGGUGACAAUGGGAUAUCACGUGAUCCACUUGAUGUAUGUUUUGGUGAUCAACUUGCGGGUUCCGCCCAUGAACCUAUGCAUAGGGGUUGGCACACGUUUUCGUCUUGACUCUCCGGUAGAAACUUUGGGGCACUCUUUGAGGUCCUAUGUGUUGGUUGAAUAGGUGAAUCUAAGAUUGUGUGAUGCAUAUCGUAUAAUCAUACCCCAUGGAUACUUGAGGUGACAUUGGAGUAUCUAGGUGACAUUAGGGUUUUGGUUGAUUUGUGUCUUAAGGUGUUAUUCUAGUACGAAUUCUAGGGCUGUUUGUGACACUUAUAGGAAUAGCCCAACGGAUUGAUUGGAAAGAAUAACUUUGAGGUGGUUUCGUACCCUAUCAUAAUCUCUUCGUUUGUUCUCCGCUAUUAGUGACUUUGGAGUGACUCUUUGUUGCAUGUUGAGGGAUAGUUAUGUGAUCCAAUUAUGUUAUUAUUGUUGAGGGAACUUGCACUAGUGAAAGUAUGAACCCUAGGCCUUGUUUCAACGCAUUGCAAUACCGUUUGUGCUCACUUUUAUCAUUAGUUACCUUGCUGUUUUUAUAUUUUCAUAUUACAAAAACCUUUAUCUACCAUCCAUAUUGCACUUGUAUCACCAUCUCUUCGCCGAACUAGUGCACCUAUACAAUUUACCAUUGUAUUGGGUGUGUUGGGGACACAAGAGACUCUUUGUUAUUUGGUUGCAGGGUUGCUUGAGAGAGACCAUCUUCAUCCUACUCCUCCUACGGAUUGAUAAACCUUAGGUCAUCCACUUGAGGGAAAUUUUCUACUGUCCUACAAACCUGUGCACUUGGAGGCCCAACAACGUCUACAAGAAGAAGGUUGUGUAGUAGACAUCAGUUCCCCACAAGAUAGCUUUUGUCCCAUUAUAUUUGGUAGACCCUUCUUGAACACAGUUAAUGCUAAGAUAGAUUGCGAAAAAGAUGUUGUUACUAUUGGUUUAGGUGAUAUGUCUCAUGAGUUUAAUUUCUCUAAAUUUCGUAGACAACACCGUGAAGAGUAAUUGCCUAGUAAAGAUGAAAUUAUUGGUCUUGCUUCUAUUGCCGUGCCUCCUAGUGAUCCUUUAGAAUAGUACUUGCUAGACCAUGAAAAUGAUAUGUUUAUGAAUGAAAGAAGGGAAAUAGAUGAAGUAUUCUUUAAACAUGAACCCAUCCUGAAACAUAAUUUGCCCGUCAAAAUCCUAGGGGAUCCUCCUCCACCCAAGGGUGAUCCCGUGUUUGAGCUCAAACUGUUACCUGAUAGUCUUAAAUAUGCUUAUCUUGAUGAGAAAAAGAUAUAUCCUGUUGUUAUUAGUGCUAACCUUUCAGAGCAUGAAGAAGAGAGAUUAUUAAAAACUCUGAAGCAGCACCGUGAUGCUAUUGGAUAUACUCUCAAUGAUCUUAAGGGCAUUAGUCCCACACUAUGUCAACACAAAAUAAAUUUGGAGAAAGAUGCCAAACCAGUUCGUGAUCACCAACUACGGCUGAAUCCUAAGAUGAAAGAAGUGGUAAGAAAGGAAAUACUAAAUCUCCUUGAGGCAGUUAUAAUUUAUCCCGUUGCUGAUAGUCAGUGGGUAAGUCAUGUCCAUUGUGUCCCUAAAAAGGAAGGUAUUACUAUCGUUCCUAAUGAUAAAGAUGAAUUGAUUCUGCAAAGAAUUAUUACAGGUUAUAGGAUGGUAAUUGAUUUCCGCAAAUUAAAUAAGGCUACUAAAACGAUCAUUACCCCUUUCCUUUUAUUGAUCAAAUGCUAGAAAUAUUAUCCAACCAUACACAUUUUUGCUUUCUAGAUGGUUAUUCUGGUUUCUCUCAAAUACAUGUGUCAGCUGAUGAUCAAUCUAAGACCACUUUUACUUGCUUGUUCGGUACUUUUGCUUAUAGACAUAUGCCUUUUGGUUUAUGUAAUGCACCUGCUACCUUCCAAAGAUGCAUGAUGGCUAUAUUCUCUAACUUUUGUGAAAAUAUUUGUGAGGUUUUCAUGGACGAAUUGCUCCGUCUAUGGAUCCUAUUUUGAUGAUUGCUUAAGCAACCUUGAUCGAGUUUUGCAUAGAUGUGAAGAAACUAACCUUUGUAAUGAAUUGGGAGAAGUGCCACUUUAUGGUUAAUGAAGGUAUUGUCUUGGGGCAUAAAGUUUCUGAAAGAGGUAUUGAAGUUGAUAAAGCUAAGGUUGAUGUUAUUGAAAAGAUGCCAUGUCCCAAGGAUAUCAAAGGUAUAAGAAGUUGCCUUGGUCACGUCGGUUUUUAUAGGAGGUUCAUUAAGGACUUCUCAAAAAUUUCUCGGCCUCUUACUAAUUUAUUACAAAAAGAUAUACCAUUUGUUUUUGAUGAUGAUUGCGUAGAACCAUUUGAAAUACUUAAUAAAGCUUUGAUCUCUGCACCUAUUGUUCAACCACCUGAUUGCAUUUUACCUUUUGAAAUUAUGUGUGAUGCUAGUGAUUAUGCUGUAGGUGUUGUUCUAGGGAAAAGAGUUGAUAAGAAAUUAAAUGUUAUACAAUAUGCUAGUAAAACUCUAGACAAUGCCCAGAGAAAUUAUGCUACUACUGAAAAAGGAUUCUUAGCAGUUGUAUUUGCAUGUGAUAAGUUCAGACCUUAUAUUGUUGAUUCUAAAGUAAGUAUUCACACUGAUCAUGUUGCUAUUAAAUAUCUUAUGGAAAAGAAAGAUGUUAAACCUAGACUUAUUAGAUGGGUUCUCUUGCUACAAGAAUUUGAUAUGCAUAUUAUUGAUAGAAAGGGAGCUGAGAACCCCGUUGCAGACAACUUGUCUAGGCUAGAGAAUGUUCUUGAUGACCCACUACCUAUUGAUGAUAGCUUUCCUGAUGAACAAUAAAUGUCAUAAAUGCUUCUUGUACUGCUCCAUGGUAUGCUGAUUAUGCUAAUUACAUUGUUACUAAAUUUAUACCACCUAGUUUCACAUACCAGCAAAAGAAAAAGUGUUUCUAUGAUUUAAGGCAUUACUUUUGGGAUGACCCACAUCUUUAUAAAGAAGGAGUAGAUGGUGUUAUUAGACAUUGUGUACCUGAGCAUGAACAGGAACAGAUCUUACGUAAGUGUCACUCUGAACCUUAUGGAGGACACCAUGCUGGAGAUAGAACUGCACACAAGGUAUUGCAAUCCGGUUUUUAUUGGCCUACUCUCUUCAAGAAUGCCCGUAAGUUUGUCUUGUCUUGUGAUGAAUGUCAAAGAAUUGGUAAUAUUAGUAGACGUCAAGAAAUGCCUAUGAAUUAUUCACUUGUUAUUGAACCAUUUGAUGUUUGGGGCUUUGAUUAUAUGGGAUCUUUUCCUACCUCCAAUGGAUACACACAUAUUUUAGUUGUUGUUGAUUACGUUACUAAGUGGGUAGAAGCUAUUCCAACUAGUAGUGAUGAUCAUAACACCUCUAUUAAGAUGCUUAAAGAAGUUAUUUUUCCGAGGUUUGGACUCCCUAGAUACUUAAUGACGGAUGGUGGUUCACAUUUUAUUCAUGGUGCUUUCCGUAAAAUGCUUGCUAAGUAUGAUGUUAAUCAUAGAAUUGCAUCUCCUUAUCACCCACAGUCUAGUGGUCAAGUAGAAUUGAGCAAUAGAGAACUCAAAUUAAUUUUGCAAAAGACUGUUAAUAGAUCCAGAAAGAAUUGGUCCAAGAAACUUGAUGAUGCAUUAUGGGCCUAUAGAACUGCAUAUAAAAAUCCUACGAGUAUGUCUCCGUAUAAAAUGGUCUAUGGAAAAGCAUGUCACUUACCUCUUGAAUUAGGACAUAAGGCUUAUUGGGCUAUUAAAGAGCUCAAUUGUGAUUUCAAACUUGCCGGUGAGAAGAGGUUAUUUGACAUUAGCUCACUCGAUGAAUGGAGAACCCAAGCCUAUGACAAUGUCAAAUUGUUUAAAGAAAAAGUUAAAAGACGGCAUGACAAAAGAAUACAAAAGCGUGAGUUUAAUGUAGGUGAUUAUGUAUUGCUAUACAACUCUCCUUUAAGAUUUUUUGCUGGAAAACCUCCCUCUAAAUGGGAAUGUCCUUAUGUUAUCGAGGAGGUCUAUCGUUCCGGUGCCAUAAAAAUCAACAACUUCGAAGGCACAAACCCGAAGGUGGUGAACGGUCAAAGAAUCAAACAUUAUAUCUCAGGUAAUGCUAUAAAUGUUGAAACCAAUGUUAUUGAAACCAAAACCCCGGAGGAAUACAUAAGGGACACUUUCCAGAACGUUUCAGACUCCGAAAAGGAAUAAGUAUGUGGUACGGUAAGUAAACCGACUCCAAAACAGUUCUAAUGGCAAUUUUCUUCUGUUUUGGAAUAUUUAGAAAAUAAGAAGCAGUCCGGGAAGGACAUGAGGGCUCCACGAGGGUGGAGGGUGCUCCCUACCCCCUGGGCGCGCCCCCCUACCUCGUGGGCACCUCGUGUGCUCUCCGGACUCCGUUUUCUUGCAUGAUACAUGUUUUGGUCGGUAAAAAUUCAUUAUAUAAUCUCCUGGAGGUUUUGACUCCCAUAUCAUGCAAUUAUCCUUUGUUUGUGUUUCGAGCUGUUACUCCUGCAGAUUAGAGCAAGAUGUCUUCACAAGAGUCAGUCGACGAGAGCUGGGUGUCUCAUCCGGCACCGAGAUCAAUGACAAACAACAAUGUUGACCACUUUGGGCCAACAACGGAGGAAGAGAUGGACGCUGAUUUGAAGAGGAUAGAUGCCAUGGAGGAGGAUCAAGAAGUCACUUCCCGCUUCCGAGCUGGAUUCACAAUGGGGGAACUACAGAGCUCGGCUAUCCCAAACUCGGUUAUCCCUUCCAAUGUUAGAUUUCUUUCUUAUGAGAGUAUGAAAAAGAGUGUCACUGGUUGUCCCACAGCUAUGCAACACCCUUGGGUGUAGGGAGCUUUGGCUGUUACAGGAAAACUUCGAAAGGAAAUAAUGGACCUCAAGCAGCAAGUCAAUAAGCUCGAGGAGGAGAAUCGUAUCAUGAGGGGCAUCAUUGCCAAGAAUAUAACAUCACCAUCCCCGAAAAAGGAAACAUAAUCAUAAGGGUAUGGGCACUCCCCUUGGCAACUGCCAAGCUUGGGGGAGGUGCCCCGGUAUCGUAUCACCAUCACUUUUAUCUUUACCAUUUUUCUUAGUUCGAUCCUUUUGAUAAUAUCUUGAUCUAGUAGAAUAAAGUUCUUAGUAUGAUCUAGUUGUGAGUUUUGCUUUAUGAUCCUUCUAUGUAAUCGAGUCCGUGAGCUAUAUAUAUAUAAUAAAGAUUAGUGUUGAGUCAAGGGCUUGAUUAUUUUGCCAUGAUCUUGAGUGAAUAAAAUAAAAGAGAAAUAAUAAAAAGAAACAAAGAGAUCAUAUGGACCUUAUGGAGAGUAAUGAGCUCACAUAGAAAGAGUAUGAUGAAUAAAAAUUGUUGAGAGUUGACAAACAUAGUUUUGGUCAUCGUUGCAAUUAAUAGGAAGUAAUAAAGAAAGAGAGGUCUUCACAUAUAAAUAUACUAUCUUGGACAUCUUUUAUGAUUGUGAGCACUCAUUAAAAUAUGACAUGCAAAAGAGUUGACGUUGGACAAGGAAGACAACGUAAUGGGUUAUGUUUUCUUACAUCUGAGAUAAAUUAUAUUGUCAUGGAUCAUCCAAUAUGAUUGAGUUUGCCUUUCCCCCUCAUGCUAGCCAAAUUCUUUGCACUAAGUAGAGAUACUACUUCUGCUUCCAAACACCCUUAAACCAGUCUUGCCAUAAGAGUCCACCAUACCGACCUAUGGAUUGAGUAAGAUCCUCCAAGUAAUUUGUCAUCGGUGCAAGCAAUAAAAAUUGCUCUCUAAAUAUGUAUGACUUAUUAGUGUGGGAGAAAAUAAGCUUUAUACGAUCAUGUGAUAUUGAAGAACUAAAAGUGACGGACUGCAUAAUAAAGGUCCAUAUCACAAGUGGCAAUAUAAAGUGACGUUCUUUCGCAUUAUGAUUUUGUACAUUCAACCAUAAAAGCGCAUGACAACCUCUGCUUCCCUCUGUGAAGGGCCAAUCUUUUACUUUUAUCUCCUACCUUGCAUAAGAGUCAUGGUGAUCUUCACCCUUCCUUUUUAAAUUUUAUCUUUUGGCAAGCACAUCAUGUUGGAAAGAUCCUGGUAUAUAUGGCUAAUUGGAUGUGAGCUUUCAUGAACUAUUAUUGUUGACAUUACCCUUGAGGUAAAAUGUUGGGAGGCAAAACUAUAAGCCCCUAUAUUUCUCUGUGUCUGAUUAAAACUCCAUACCCAUAAGUAUUGCGUGAGUGUUAGCAAUUGUGAAAGACUGUAUGAUAGUUGAGUAUGUGGACUUGCUGAAAAGCUCUUAUAUUGACUCUUUCCUAUGUUAUGAUAAAUUGCAAUUGCUUCAAUGACUGAGAUUAUAGUUUGUUAGUUUUCAAUGAAGUUUAUGAUUCAUACUUGAAAUUGUGAUUGUAUUGUUACUCUAGCAUAAGAGAUCAUAUGACAAGAAUUAUAAAAGUUGUCGUUCUAAGAAUGAUCAUGAUGCCCUCAUGUCCGUAUUUUAUUUUUACCGACACCUCUAUCUCUAAACAUGUGGACAUAUUUUUCGAUUUCGGCUUUCGCUUGAGGACAAGCGAGGUCUAAGCUUGGGGGAGUUGAUACGUCCAUAUUGCAUCAUGCUUUUAUAUCUAUAUUUAUUGCAUUAUGGGCUAUUAUUACACAUUAUGUCACAAUACUUAUGCAUAUUCUCUCUUAUUUUACAAGGUUUACAUAAAGAGGGAGAAUGCCGGCAGCUGGGAUUCUGGGCCGGAAAAGGAGAAAAUAUUACAGACCUAUUCUGCACAACUCCAAAAGUCCUGAAACUUCACGGAAGUCAUUUUCAGAAUAUAUAAAAAAUACUGAGCGCAAGAAGUUCACCAGGGGGCCACACCCUGCCCACGAGGGUGGGGGCGCGCCCUGCCCCCUAGGCGCCCCUACCUCGUGGGGCCCCUGGUGGCCCUCCGAUGUCCAUCUUCUGCUAUAUGGAGUCUUUUGAUGAGGAAAAAAAUCAUAAGCCAUCUUUCCGGACGAGACUCCGCCGCCACGAGGCGGAACCUUGGAGGAAUCAAUCUAGGGCUCCGGCGGAGCUGUUCUGCCGGGGAAACUUCCCUCUGGGAGGGUGAAAUCAUCGCCAUCGUCAUCACCAACGAUCCUCUCAUCGGGAGGGGGUCAAUCUCCAUCAACAUCUUCACCAUCACCAUCUCCUCUCAAACCCUAGUUCAUCUCUUGUAUCCAAUUCUUGUCUCCAAGUCUGAGAUUCGUACCUGUGGGUUGCUAGUAGUGUUGAUUACUCCUUGUAGUUGAUGCUAGUUGGUUUAUUUGGUGGAAAUCAUAUGUUCAGAUCCUAUAUGCAUAUUAAUACCCCUCUGAUUAUUAACAUGAAUAUGCUUUGUGAGUACUUACGUUUGUUCCUGAGGACAUGGGAGAAGUCUUGCUAUUAGUAGUCAUGUGAAUUUGGUAUUCGUUCGAUAUUUUGAUGAGAUGUAUGUUGUCUCUCCUCUAGUGGUGUUAUGUGAACGUCGACUACAUGACACUUCACCAUUAUUUGGGUCUAGAGGAAUGCAUUGGGGAGUAAUAAGUAGAUGAUGGGUUGCUAGAGUGACAGAAGCUUAAACCCUAGUUUAUGUGUUGUUUGGUAAGGGGUUGAUUUGGAUCCACAUGCUUCAUGCUAUGGUUAGGUUUACCUUAAUAAUUUUGUUGUAGUUGCGGCUGCUUGCAAUAGAGGUUAAUCAUAAGUGGGAUACUUGUCCAAGUAAGGGUAGUACCCAAGCACCGGUCCACCCACAUACCAAAUUAUCAAAGUACCGAAUGUGAAUCAUAUGAUCGUGAUGAAAACUAGCUUGACGAUAAUUCCCAUGUGUCCUCAGGAGCACUUUUCUCUAUAUAAGAGUUUGUCCAGGCUUGUCCUUUUCUACAAAAAGGAUUGGGCCACCUUGGUGCACUUUAUUUACUUUUGUUACUUGUUGCUUGCUACAAAUUAUCUUAUCACAAAACUAUCUGUUACCUAUAAUUUCAGUGCUUGCAGAGAAUACCUUGCUGAAAACCUCUUAUCAUUUCCUUCUGCUCCUCGUUGGGUUCGACACUCUUACUUAUCGAAAGGACUACGAUAGAUCCCCUAUACUUGUGGGUCAUCAAACCGGAGUACAUAGCUGCUUCGGAAGCAGCAAAUGAAGGAGUCUAGAUGAAGGAGUUCAUAUCCGAUCUAGGUGUCAUACUUAGUGCAUCAGGUCCAAUGAAAAUCUUUUGUGACAAUACUGGUGCAAUUGCCUUGGCAAAGGAAUCCAGAUUUCACAAGAGAACCAAACACAUCAAGAGACGCUUCAAUUCCAUCCGCGAUCAAGUCCAGGUGGGGGACAUAGAGAUUUGCAAGAUACAUACGGAUAUGAAUGUUGCAGACCCUUGACUAAGCCUCUCUCACGAGCAAAACAUGAUCAGCACCAAGGCUCCAUGGGUGUUAGAAUCAUUACUGUGUAAUCUAGAUUAUUGACUCUAGUGCAAGUGGGAUACUGAAGGAAAUAUGCCCUAGAGGCAAUAAUAAAGUUAUUAUUUAUUUCCUUAUUUCAUGAUAAAUGUUUAUUAUUCAUGCUAGAAUUGUAUUAACCGGAAACAUAAUACAUGUGUGAAUACAUAGACAAGCAAAGUAUCACUAGUAUGCCUCUACUUGACUAGCUCGUUGAUCAAAGAUGGUUAUGUUUCCUAACCAUAGACAUGAGUUGUCAUUUGAUAAAUGGGAUCACAUCAUUAGGAGAAUGAUGUGAUUGACUUGACCCAUUCCGUUAUCUUAGCACUUGAUCAUUUUAGUUUACUUCUAUUGCUUUCUUCAUGACUUAUAAAAUUUCCUAUAACUAUGAGAUUAUGCAACUUCCGAUUACGGGAGGAACACUUUGUGUGCUACCAAAUGUCACAACGUAACUGGGUGAUUAUAAAGGUGCUCUACAGGUGUCUCUGAUGGUACUUGUUGAGUUGGCAUAGAUCGAGAUUAGGAUUUGUCACUCCGAUUGUCGGAGAGGUAUCUCUCGGCCCUCUCGGUAAUGCACAUCACUAUAAGCCUGGCAAGCAAUGUAACUAAUGAGUUGGUUGCGAGAUGAUGCAUUACGGAACGAGUAAAGAGACUUGUUGGUAACGAGAUUGAACUAGGUAUUGAGAUACCGACGAUCGAAUCUCGGGCAAGUAACAUACCGAUGACAAAGGGAACAACAUAUGUUUUCAUGCGGUUUGACCGAUUAAGAUCUUCGUAGAAUAUGUAGGAGCCAAUAUGGGCAUCCAAGUUCUGCUAUUGGUUAUUGACCAUAGAAGUGUCUCGGUCAUGUCUACAUAAUUCUCGAACCCGUAGGGUCUGCACGCUUAACGUUCGUUGACGAUAUAGUAUUUAUGAGUUAUGUAUGUUGGGAACCGAAUGUUGUUCGGAGUUCCGGAUAAGAUCACGGACAUGACAAGGAACUCCAGAAUGAUCCGGAGAUAAAGUCUGAUAUAUGGGAUAAUAGUGUUUGGUCUCUGGAAGGGUUCCGGAAUUCAUUGGAAGGGGUUCCGGAUGUUUCCCGAAAUGUUUGGGUACGAGAACACUCUAUUUGGGCCAAAGGGGAAAGCCCACAAGGUUUUUGGAAAGCACAAAAGGAAGUUUUGUGGAGUCCAGGGGCCAGACGCCAGGGUCCCUGGCGUAUGGGGCCAGACGCCGGGAACCUUGGCGUCUGGCCCUGGAGUCCAAGAAGGACUCUUACCUUUCGGGUGAAACCGACUUUGUGGAGGCUUCUACUCCAAGUUUCGACCACAAGGCUCAACAUAUAAAUAGAGGGGUAGGGAUAGCACCCAACACACAUCAAGAAACACCAAGUUGUGUGCCAGCAACCCCGUCCCCUCUAGUUUAUCCUCCAUAAUAGUUUUUGUAGUGCUUAGGUGAAGCCCUACGGAGAUUGUUCUUCACCAACACCGUCACCACGCCGUCGUGCUGCCGGAACUCAUGUACUACUUCGCCCCUCUUGCUGGAUCAAGAAGGCGAGGACGUCAUCGAGCUGAACAUGUGCUGAAAGCGGAGGUGCCGUACGUUCAGUACUUGAUUGGGAUGGGUUGUGAAGGUGUACGACUACAUCAACCGUAUUGAUAAACGCUUCCGCUUUCGGUCUACGAGGGUACGUAGACAUACUCUCCCCUCUCGUUGCUAUGCAUCACCAUGAUCUCGCGUGUGCGUAGGAUUUUUUUGAAAUUACUGCGUUCCCCAACAAUAGCUAGUAGCUAGAUGGCUUCUUCUCUCUCUUUGAUUCUCAAUACCAUGUUCUCCUCGAUGUUCUUGGAGAUCUAUUCGAUGUAAUACUCUCCUGCGGUGUGUUUGCCGAGAUCCGAUGAAUUGUGGAUUUAUGAUCAGCUUAUCUAUGAAUAUUAUUUGGAUCUCCUCUGAAUUCUUAUAUAUAUGAUUUGAUAUCUUUGCAAGUCUGUUCGAAUUAUCGAUUUGGUUUGGCCAACUAGAUUGGUUUUUAUUGCAAUGGGAGAAGUGCUUAGCUUUGGGUUCAAUCUUGCGGUGCUCGAUCCUAGUGACAGAAGGGGAACCGUAUUGUAUUGUUGCCAUCGAGGAUAACAAGAUGGGGUUUUCAUCAUAUCGCUUGAGUAAUAGUAGUAGAUGCAGAAUCGUUCCGGUCUACUUGAUACGGAUGUGAUGCCUAUAUUCAUGAUCAUUGCCUUAGAUAUCGUCAUAACUUUGCGCUUUUCUAUCAAUUGCUCGGUAGUAGUUUGUUCACCAACCAUAUUAAUUUCUAUCUUGAGAGAAGCCUCUAGUGAAACCUAUGGCCCCCGGGUCUAUUUUCCAUCAUAUAAGUUUCUGAUCUACAAUUUUAGUUUCCUAUUUACUUUCUUUGCAAUCUUUUACUUUCCGUUCAAUAAAUCAAAAAUACCAAAAAUAUUACUUUACUGUUUAUCCAUCUCUAUCAGAUCUCACUUUACAAAGAACCGUGAAGGGAUUGACAACCCCUUUGUCACGUUGGGUGCAAGUUGGUGUUUGUUUGUGCAGGUAUUCAGUGGCUUUCGCAUUUUUCUCCUACUGGAUUGGUACCUUGGUUCUCAAAAGCUGAGGGAAAUACUUACUCUACUUUGUUGCAUCACCCUUUCCUCUUCAAGGGAGAAAACAACGCAAGCUCAAGAGGUAGCGGCGGCCACCUUGGAUCCAUGGUCACGGCUUAGUGUUAAGGAAGUACUUUUCGCCGAUGCCUUCAAAAAGGAGCAAGACUGAUUUUGGAGUUUUUGUGAGAAUGUUGAAUAAGCAAUUCCUGUGGUUGCAUUUUGGGAAGCAUUUAGGAACUGCCUUUUUCAUAGCAGCAUCAUGAUCUGUUAUGACUGAUUUUGGAGAUUUUCCACGCAUGUGUUUGAGAAAAGUAUUGAAUAUCCACUUGAAUGUUUCUGUCUUUUCAUCUUGUAUGACACCACAUGCAAAUAGACAAUUGUCUCUGUGACCAUUUACUCCCACAAAUGGUGCAAACUUCAUAUUAUACUUGUUUGUCUUGUAUGUUGUGUCGAAGCUCAGUAGAUCAUCAUAUUGGUUGUGGUUCCUCAUUCCAGAUCCAUCUACCCAAAAUAUAUACAUCACAUUAUUUUUCAAGAUCUGUUUUUGAAUGAGUAGAAGAACAAUGGAUCUUAUGUUUUUUUUCUUUUCAAAGAAUGAAACCACUUGCAUCAUGUCAUUGAGACUGUACUCUCUCCUCAUCUUGGUCCCCAUGUUGCUAAUCUAUUUUGCUAUGUUAGGCAACGAAGAUAGGCCUCUUUCUGGUUGGUAUAUAUGUUUACCCUUUUGCAAGUUCUGAUCAAGUCUUUGUCUUGUUCACUCAUAUAUUUGUCUGACUGUAGGGACCUCACUUCACCUGGUGGAUGAAGUUCAUGAUUGUGAUCAAUGAUGAGCCUUGUCACUGAUGACCCACAAUUAUAGGGGAUCAAUUGUAGCUCUUUUCGAUAAGUAAGAGUGUCGAACCCAACGAGGAGUAGAAGGAAAUGACAAGUAGUUUUUAGUAAGGUAAUGUCUGCAAGUGCUGAAAUUGUAAGUAGCGAGUAGUUUGAUAGCAAGAUAAUUUGUAACGAGCAAGUAAUGAUAAUAUUAACAAGUAUGCAUCAAGGUAGCCCAAUCCUUUUGAGGCAAAGGACAGGCCAAAAUGGUCUCUUAUGAUAAGCAAAGCGUUCUUGAGGGUACACGAGAAUUUCAUCUAGUCACUUUCAUCAUGUUGGUUUGAUUUGUGUUCGCUACUUUCAUAAUUUGAUAUGUGGGUGGACCGGUGCUUAGGUGAUGUUCUUACUUGAACAAACCUCCUACUUAUGAUUAACCCUCCCGCAAGCAUCCGCAACUACGAGAAAAGUAUUAAGAAUAAAUCCUAACCAUAGCAUUAAACUUUAGGAUCCAAUCGGUCCCUUACGGAAUAGCACAUAAACUGGGGUUUAAGUUUCCGCCACUCUCGCAACCCACCAUCUAAUUGCUACUCCAAAAUGCAUUCCCUUAGGCCCAAAUAUGGUGAAGUGUCAUGUAGUCGACGUUCACAUGACACCACUAAGGGAAUCACAACAUACAUACUAUCAAAAUAUCAAACACAUAUCAAGCUCACAUGAUUACUUGCAACAUGAUUUCUCCCGUGACCUCAAGAACAAAAGUAACUACUCACAAAUAAUAAACAUGCUCAUGAUCAGAGGGGUAUUAAAUAGCAUAAUGGAUCUGAACAUAUAAUCUUCCACCAAAUAAACCAUAUAGUAAUCAACUACAAGAUGUAAUCAACACUACUAGUCACCCACAUGCACCAAUCUAUAGUUUCGGUAACAAGAUUGAACACAAGAGAUGAACUAGGGUUUGAGAGAAGAUGGUGCUGUUGAAGAUGUUGAUGGAGAUUGCCCUCCCCAAGAUGGGAGAGUUGUUGGUGAUGAUGAUGAUGAUGAUUUCCCCCUCCGGGAGGGAAGUUCCCCCGGCGGAAUCGCUCCGCCGGAGGGCAAAAGUGCUACUGCCCAAGUUCCGCCUCGAGACGGCGGCGCUCCGUCCCAAAAGUCUUCUCCUUAUUUUUUCUAGGUCAAAAUGACUUAUAUACCAAAAGAUGGGCACCGGAUGUGGGCCGAGGAGGCCAAAACCCAUCAGGGCGCGCUUGGGGGCCUGGCGCGCCCAGGUGGGUUGUGCCCACCUGGUGGCCCCCCUCUGGUAGUUAUUGGCUCCAAUAUUUCUUAUAUAUUCCAUAAAAAAACUCCGUCAAGUUUCAGCUCAUUUGGAGUUGUGCAGAAUAGGUAGACUGCGUAACUUUUCCAGGUUUAGAUUUCCAGCUGCUGGAAUUCUCCCUCUUUGUGUGUUCCUUGCAAAUUAUGAGAGAAAAGGCAUUAGAAUUACUCCAAAAAGCAUUAUUAUGGAUAAAAAAGUUAUAAAUAAUCGUAAGAAAACAUGAUGCAAAAAUGGACGUAUCAACUCCCCCAAGCUUAGACCUUGCUUGUCCUCAAGCAAAAACCGAAAUCGAAAAACAUGUCCACAUGCUUUGAGAGAGAGGUGUCGAUAAAAACAAAAUAUGGACAUAGAAGCAUCAUGUUGAUUAUUAUAACAGCAACAAAUUAAACAUAGGACUUUUAUCACAGAUCUUGCAUCAUAUACUUCCUAUGAAUAAGUAAGAGUUCAUCACAUAAUCGAAGUAUAAAGCAAAAACUCUAUUAAAAACCAACAAACCAUGUUCCCAGUCAACUUUGCAACUACAAUUCAUCAUCUUUUCAGGAAGAGUCACAUGUCGGAGCCUUUUAAGCAAGUCCACAUACUCAACCAUCAUAUAGUCUUCUAUGAUUGCUAACUCUCACCUUGUACCCAUGAGCAAAACGUUUCAACCGGACACAUAGAAAGAUAGGGGCUUAUAGUUUCGCCUACCAACAUACUCACCUCAAGGGUGAUGUCAACAAUAAUAACUCAUGCUAUCUAUAUUCAACUGGACAUAUGUGCCUAGAUCUUUCCUCACCACAUGAUGCUUGUCAAACGAGAAAAUAAAAAGGAAUAGAAGGAAAAACUUUGAAUCUUUGCAUAAAAGUAAAAGAUAGGCCCUUCGCAGAGGGAAGCAGAGGUUGCCAUGCACUUAUUUUUUUGCAUGCUCAAUCCCUUAGUGCAAGAGAACGUCACGUUGUAUUGCCCCUUAAGAUGAUAACCUUUAUUAUGCAGUAUGUCGCUUUUAUUCUUUGUCAUCCAAGUUCCUACAACGCUCAAUUUUCUCUUACACUAAAUGAUCUCACAUAUUUAGAAGCAAUUUUUAUUGCCUUUUUGCACCGAUGACAACUUACUUGAGGGAUCUUGUUCAAUCCCUAGGUAGGUAUGGUGGACACUUGAAAACGAUUUGGGUUUAAGGGUUUUGGAUGCACAAGUAGUAUCUCUACUUAGUGCGGAAUUUUUGGCUAGCAAAGAUAGGGGCAAGCACCACAUGUUGAAGGAUCUAUGACAAUAUGACUUCUAUGUGAAUAUAAACAAACAUAAACCAUUAAGUUGUCUUCCUUAUCCAAUGUCAACAAUUUUGGCAUAUAAUAUUUUGAUGAGGGUUCACAAUCACAAAAGAUUUCUAGGAUAGUAUAUCUAUAUGUGAAUCUUCUCUUCCCUUAUUAAUUCUUUCAUGAGUUGCAUCAUUGACUAAUGCUAUGUUUGUCAAUAUCUAAUAAAAUUUCCUACUUAUAAUUUUCCUUAUGUGGUGCUAUCACCUACCAUAGGAUUAGUAUAUAAUCUUAUUGAUCUAUUUCCUUUCUUUUCUCCUUUUCUUUCUUUCUUAUUUCUUUUAUUUUAUUUAUUUGCAACAUGAAAGUAAAGAAAGCAAAAACUCAAAUUAAACUUUAUUAUAUAACUUGCACACGAUUACAAUGAUAGAUCACUAAGCGAAAUCUCAAAUAAGAAGGGAUCAAACUAAACUUUAUUUCAUCUAAAGCAAAAUGAUCGAACUAAGAAAAGUAGAAGCAAAAAGAUAGUGGGAUGAUACGAUACCGGGGCACCUCCCCCAAGCUUGGCAGAAGCCAAGGGGAGUGCCCAUACCCGAUACUCAGUUCUCCUUUGGUGGUGAAGAUGAUGGUGGUGAUGAAGAAGGUAAUGGUGGUGGUGAGAAGAUAGGGGAUUUGCCCUUUGCUUCCUUCAGCUUCUGACUGAGAGUAAAAUUCUCCAUCAUUAACUCGCAAUUAUCUAUCAUUAACUCGUGCCUUCCUGAUUGAUUGCUUAACGUAGGGUCCAAGUCCUCUGGAUCAUGUUCGUUCUAAAAAUCACGUUCCCGAAGGUUUCAUUCCGUUUGGACUCAGUUUGAUAUUCUUUUUCUGUGAAACCCUAAAAUAGGCAAAAAACAGCAAUUCUGGGAUGGGCCUCCGAUUAAUAGGUUAGUCCCAAAAAUAAUAUAAAAGUGUAUAAUGAAGCCCAAUAAUGUCCAAAACAGGAUAUAAUAUAGCAUGGAACAAUUAAAAAUUAUAGAUAUGUUGGAGGCGUAUCAAGCAUCCCCAAGCUUAAUUCCUGCUCGUCCUCGAGUAGGUAAAUGUUAAAAAUAGAAUUUUUGAUGUGGAAUGCUACUUUCCAUAAUUUCAAUGUAAUUCUCUUAAUUGUGGUAUGAAUAUUCAUAUCCGAAAGAUUCAAGACAAAAGUUCAAUAUUGACAUAGAAAUAAUAAUACUUCGAGCAUACUAACUAAGCAAUUAUGUCUCUUCAAAAUAACAUGGCCAAAGAAAGUUAUCCCUACAAAAUCAUAUAGUCUGGCUAUGCUCCAUCUUCACCACACAAAGUAUUUAAAUCAUGCACAACCCCGAUGACAAGCCAAGCAAUUGUUUCAUACUUUUGGUGUUCUCAAACUUUUUCAAUCUUCACGCAAUACAUGAGCGUGAGCCAUGGACAUAGCACUAUAUAUGGAAUAGAAUGGUGGUUUGAUAAGUCCAUUUUGCAUCAUGCUUUUAUAUCGAUAUUUAUUGCAUUAUGGGUUGUUAUUACACAUUAUGUCACAAUAAUUAUGCCUAUUCUCUCUUAUUUUAUAAGGUUUACAUAAAGAGGGAGAAUGCCGGCAGCUGGGAUUCUGUGCUGGAAAAGGAGCAAAUAUUAGAGACCUAUUCUGCACAGCUCCAAAAGUCCUGAAACUUCACGGAAGUCAUUUUCAGAAUAUAUAAAAAAUACUAAGCGCAAGAAGUUCACCAGGGGCCACACCCUGCCCACGAGGGUGGGGGCGCGCCCUACCCCCCUGGGCGUGCCCCCUACCUCAUGGGGCCCCUGGUGGACCUCCGAUGUCCAGCUUCUGCUAUAUGGAGUCUUUUGAUGAGGAAAAAAAAUCAUAAGCCAGCUUUCCGGAUGAGACUCCGCUGCCACGAGGCGGAACCUUGGCGGAAUCAAUCUAGGGCUCCGGCGGAGCUGUUCUGCCGGGGAAAUUUCCCUCCCGGAGGGGGAAAUCAUCGCCAUCGUCAUCACCAACGAUCCUCUCAUCGGGAGGGGGUCAAUCUCCAUCAACAUCUUCACCAGCACCAUCUCCUCUCAAACCCUAGUUCAUCUCUUGUAUCCAAUUCUUGUCUCCAAGUCUGGAAUUGGUACAUGUGGGUUGCUAGUAGUGUUGAUUACUCCUUGUAGUUGAUGCUAGUUGGUUUAUUUGGUGGAAGAUCAUAUGUUCAGAUCCUAUAUACGUAUUAAUAACCCUCUGGUUAUGAACAUGAAUAUGCUUUGUGAGUAGUUAUGUUUGUUCCUGAGGACAUGGGAGAAGUCUUGCUAUUAGUAGUCAUGUGAAUUUGUUAUUCGUUCGAUAUUUUGAUGAGAUGUAUGUUGUCUCUCCUCUAGUGGUGUUAUGUGAACGUCGACUACAUGACACUUCACCAUUAUUUGGGCCUAGAGGAAGGCAUUGGGGAGUAAUAAGUAGAUGAUGGGUUGCUAGAGUGACAGAAGCUUAAACCCUAGUUUAUGCGUGGCUUCGUAAGGGGUUGAUUUGGAUCCACAUGUUUCAUGCUAUGGUUAGGUUUACCUUAAUACUUUUGUUGUAGUUGUGGAUGCUUGCAAUAGAGGUUAAUCAUAAGUGGGAUACUUGUCCAAGUAAGGGCAGUACCCAAGCACCGGUCCACCCACAUACCAAAUUAUCAAAGUACCGAAUGCGAAUCAUAUGAUCGUGAUGAAAACUAGCUUGGCGAUAAUUCCCAUGUGUCCUCGGGAGCGCUUUUCUCUAUAUAAGAGUUUGUAUAGGCUUGUCCUUUGCUACAAAAAGUAUUGGGCCACCUUGCUGCACUUUAUUUACUUUUGUUACUUGUUGCUCUUUACAAAUUAUCUUAUCACAAAACUAUCUGUUACCUAUAAUUUCAGUGCUUGCAAAGAAUACCUUGCUGAAAACCGCUUAUCAUUUCCUUCUGCUCCUCGUUGGGUUCGACACUCUUACUUAUCGAAAGGACUACGAUAGAUCCCCUAUACUUGUGGGUCAUCAAGACUCUUUUCUGGCGCCGUUGCCGGGGAGUGAAGCGCCUUUGGUAGGUGGAAUUUGGUAAGGAAACAUUUAUAUAGUGUGCUGAAAUUUACUGUCACUUGUUACUAUGGAAAGUGAUCCUCUAAGGGGCUUGUUCGGGGUAUCUUCACCUCGACCAGAAGAGCAAAGAGUUGCUCCUCAACCUAUUGAACCUACUGAAAAUGAAAAUGUCUACUUUGAGAUUCCUUCGGGUAUGAUAGAAAAACUGCUAGCUAAUCCUUUUGCAGGAGACGGAACAAUGCAUCUUGAUGAGCACCUAAUAUAUGUGGAUGAAGUUUGUGGAUUAUUUAAGCAUGUAGGUGUGCCCGAUGAUGUUAUUAGGAAGAAGGUCUUCCCUUUAUCUUUGAAGGGAGAUGCAUUGACAUGGUAUAGGCUAUGUGAUGAUAUGGGAUCAUGGAACUACAAACGAUUGAAAUUGGAAUUUCAUCAGAAGUUUUAUCCUAUGCAUCUUGUUCAUCGUGAUCGCAAUUAUAUAUAUAAUUUUUGGCCUCGUGAAAGAGAAAGCAUCGCUCAAGCUUGGAGGAGGCUUAAUUCAAUGUUAUAUUCAUGCCCCAAUCAUGAGCUCUCAAGAGAAAUGAUUAUUCAAAAUUUAUAUGCUCAGCUUUCUGAUAACAAUCGCACCAUGCUUGAUACUUCUUAUGUUGGCUCUUUUAUGAUGAAGACUAUUGAAUUCAAAUGGGAUUUAUUGGAAAGAAUUAAAUACAACUCUGAAGAUUGGGACCUCGACGAAGGUAAGGAGUCAGGUAUGACACCUAAGUUUGAUUAUGUUAAAUCUUUUAUGGAUACCGAUGUUUUCCGUAAAUUUAGCACUAAAUAUGGACUUGACUCUGAAAUAGUAGCUUCUUUCUGUGAAUCUUUUUCUACUCAUGUUGAUCUCCCUAGGGAGAAGUGGUUUAAAUAUCAUCCCCCCAUAGAAGUAAAAGUAGCUGCACCUAUUAAAGUUGAAGAAAAUACGGUCACUUAUAAUGAUCCUAUUGUUCCUACUCCUUAUGUUGAGAAACCACCUUUUCCUGUUAGGAUAAAAGAUCAUGCUAAAACUUCAAUUGUGGUUCGUAAAAGCAAUAUUAGAACCUAUACACCUCCUGAGCAAGUUAAAGUUGAACCUAAUAUUGCUAUUGUUAAAGAUCUCUUGUCUGAUAAUAUUGAUGGGCAUGUUAUUCAUUUCUGUGAUGAGACUGCUAGAAUUGCUAAACCUUGUGCUAAAGAUAAACAUAGACCCGUGGUAGGCAUGCCUGUUAUUUCUGUUAAAAUAGGAGAUCAUUGUUAUCAUUGCUUAUGUGAUAUGGGUGCCAGUGCCAGUGUUAUACCUCAUGACUUAUACAAAGAAAUUAUGCAUGAUAUUGCACCUGCUGAGAUAGAAGAUAUUGAUGUUACAAUUAAACUUGCCAAUAGAGAUACUAUUUCACCAAUUGGGAUUGUUAGAUAUGUUGAAGUCUUGUGUGGGAAAACUAAAUAUCCUGCUGAUUUUCUUGUUCUUGGUUCCCCACAAGAUAGCUUUUGUCCCAUAUAUUUGGUAGACCCUUCUUGAAAACAGUUAAUGCUAAGAUAGAUUGCGAAAAAGAUGUUGUUACUAUUAGUUUAGGUGAUAUGUCUCAUGAGUUUAAUUUCUCUAAAUUUCGUAGACAACACCAUGAAGAGGAAUUGUCGAGGAAAGAUGAAAUUAUUGGUCUUGCUUCUAUUGCCGUGCCUCCUAGGAUCCUUUAGAAUAGUACUUUCUAGACCAUGAAAAUGAUAUGUUUACGAAUGAAAGAAGGGAAAUAGAGGAAGUAUUCUUUAAACAGGAACCCAUCCUGAAACACAAUUUGUCGGUUGAAAUCCUAGGGGAUCCUCCUCCACCCAAGGGUGAUCCCGUGUUUGAGCUUAAACCGUUACCUGAUACUCUUAAAUAUGCUUAUCUUGAUGAGAAAAAGAUAUAUCCUUUUAUUAUUAGUGCUAACCUUUCAGAGAAUGAAGAAGAGAGAUUAUUGAAAACUCUGAAGAAGCACCGUGCUGCUAUUGGAUAUACUCUCAAUGAUCGUACGGGCAUUAGUCCCACACUAUGUCAAAACAAAAUAAAUUUGGAGAAAGAUGCCAAACCAGUUCAUGAUCACCAACGAUGGCAGAAUCCUAAGAUGAAAGAAGUGGUAAGAAAGGAAAUACUAAAGCUCCUUGAGGCAGGUAUAAUUUAUCCCAUUGCUGAUAGUCAGUGGGUAAGUCUUGUCCAUUGUGUCCCUAAAAAGGGAGGUAUUACUGUCGUUCCUAAUGAUAAAGAUGAAUUGAUUCCGCAAAGAAUUAUUACAGGUUAUAGGAUGGUAAUUGAUUUCGGCAAAUUAAAUAAGGCUACUAAAAAGAUCAUUACCCCUUACCUUUUAUUGAUCAAAUGCUAGAAAGAUUAUCCAAACAUACACAUUUUUGCUUUCUAGAUGGUUAUUCUGGUUUCUCUCAAAUACAUGUGUCAGCUGAUGAUCAAUCUAAGACCACUUUUACUUGCCCGUUCGGUAUUUUUUCUUAUAGACAUAUGCCUUUUGGUUUAUUUAAUGCACCUGCUACCUUACAAAGAUGCAUGAUGGCUAUGUUCUCUGACUUUUGUGAAAAGAUUUGGGAGGUUUUCAUGGACGAUUUCUCCGUCUAUGGAUCCUCUUUUGAUGAUUGCUUAAGCAACCUUGAUCGAGUUUUGCAGAGAUGUGAAGAAACUAACCUUGUAUUGAAUUGGGAGAAGUGCCACUUUAUGGUUAAUGAAGGUAUUGUCUUGGGGCAUAAAGUUUCUGAAAGAGGUAUUGAAGUUGAUAAAGCUAAGGUUGAUGCUAUUGAAAAGAUGCCAUGUCCCAAGGACAUCAAAGGUAUAAGGAGUUUCCUUGGUCACGCCAGUUUUUAUAGGAGGUUCAUUAAGGACUUCUCAAAAAGUUCUCGGCCUCUGACUAAUUUAUUACAAAAAGAUAUACCAUUUGUUUUUGAUGAUGAUUGCAUAGAAGCAUUUGAAAUACUUAAGAAAGCAUUGACCUCUGCACCUAUUGUUCAGCCACCUGAUUGGAAUUUACCUUUUGAAAUUAUGUGUGAUGCUAGUGAUUAUGUUGUAGCUGCUGUUCUAGGGCAAAGAGUUGAUAAGAAAUUAAAUGUUAUACAAUAUGCUAGUAAAACUAUAGACAAUGCCCAGAGAAAUUAUGCUAGUACUGAAAAAGAAUUCUUAGAAGUUGUAUUUGCCUGUGAUAAGUUCGGACCUUAUAUUGUUGAUUCUAAAGUAACUAUUCACACGGAUCAUGCUGCUAUUAAAUAUCUUAUGGAAAAGAAAGAUGCUAAACCUAGACUUAUUAGAUGGGUUCUCUUGCUACAAGAAUUUGAUCUGCAUAUUAUUGAUAGAAAGGGAGAUGAGAACCCCAUUGCAGACAACUUGUCUAGGCUAGAGAAUGUUCUUGAUGACCCACUACCUAUUGAUGAUAGCUUUCCUGAUGAACAAUUAAAUGUCAUAAAUGCUUCUCGUGCUACUCCAUGGUAUGUUGAUUAUGCUAAUUACAUUGUUGCUAAAUUUAUACCACCUAGUUUCACAUACCAGCAAAAGAAAAAGUUUUUCUAUGAUUUAAGGCAUUACUUUUGGGAUGACCCACAUCUUUAUAUAGAAGGAGUAGAUGGUGUUAUUAGACGUUGUGUAUCUGAGCAUGAACAGGAACAGAUCUUACGCAAGUGUCACUCCGAAGCUUAUGGAGGACACCAUGCUGGAGAUAGAACUGCACACAAGGUAUUGCAAUCCGGUUUUUAUUGGCCUACUCUCUUCAAGGAUGCUUGUAAGUUUGUCUUGUCUUGUGAUGACUGUCAAAGAAUUGGUAAUAUUAGUAGACGUCAAGAAAUGCCUAUGAAUUAUUCACUUGUUAUUGAACCAUUUGAUGUUUGGGGCUUUGAUUAUAUGGGACCUUUUCCUGCCUCCAAUGGAUACACACAUAUUUUAGUUUCUGUUGAUUACAUUACUAAGUGGGUAGAAGCUAUUCCAACUAGUAGUGCUGAUCAUAACACCUCUAUUAAGAUGCUUAAAGAAGUUAUUUUCUGAGGUUUGGAGUCCCUAGAUACUUAAUGACUGAUGGUGGUUCACAUUUUAUUCAUGGAGCUUUCCGUAAAAUGCUUGCUAAGUAUGAUGGUAAUCAUAUAAUUACAUCUCCUUAUCACCCACAGUCUAGUGGUCAAAUAGAAUUGAGCAAUAGAGAACUCAAAUUAAUUUUGCAAAAGACUGUUAAUAGGUCCAGAAAGAAUUGGUCCAAGAAACAUGAUGAUGCAUUAUGGGCCUAUAGAACUGUAUAUAAAAAUCCUAUGGGUAUGUCUCCGUAUAAAAUGGUCUAUGGAAAAGCAUGUCACUUACCUCUCGAAUUAGAACAUAAGGCUUAUUGGGCUAUUAAAGAGCUCAAUUAUGAUCUCAAACUUGCCGGUGAGAAGAGGUUAUUUGACAUUAGCUCACUCGAUGAAUGGAGAACCCAAGCCUAUGAGAAUUCCAAAUUGUUUAAAGAAAAAGUUAAAAGAUGGCAUGACAAAAGAAUACAAAAGCGUGAGUUUAAUGUAGGUGAUUAUGUAUUGCUAUACAACUCUCAUUUAAGAUUUUUUGCAGGAAAACUUCUCUCUAAAUGGGAAGGUCCUUACGUUAUCAAGGAGGUCUAUCGUUCCGGUGCCAUAAAAAUCAACAACUUCGAAGGCACAAACCCGAAGGUGGUGAACGGUCAAAGAAUCAAACAUUAUAUCUCAGGUAAUCCUAUAAAUGUUGAAACCAAUGUUAUUGAAUCCGUAACCUCGGAGGAAUACAUAAGGGACACUUUCCGGAACGUUUCAGACUCUGAAAAGGAAUAGGUAUGUGGUACGGUAAGUAAACCGACUCCAAAACCGUUCUAAUGGCAAUUUUCUUCCGUUUUGGAAUAUUUAGAAAAAUAGAAAAAUAAGAAGCAAUCCGGGAAGGACACGAGGGCUCCACGAGGGUGGCUUCGUGGGCACCUCGUGUGCUCUCCGGACUCCGUUUUCUUGCACGAUACGUAUUUUGGUCGGUAAAAAUUCAUUAUAUCAUCUCCCGGAGGUUUUGACUCCCGUAUCACGCAAUUAUCCUCUGUUUAUGUUUCAAGUUGUUACUGCUACAGAUUAGAGCAAGAUGUAUUCGCAAGAGUCAGUCGAGGAGAGCCGGGUGUCUCAUCCGGCACCGAGAUCAAUGACAAACAACAAUGUUGACCACUUUGGGCCAGCAACGGAGGAAGAGAUGGAGGCUGAUUUGAAGAGGAUAGAUGCCAUGGAGGAGGAUCAAGAAGUCACUUCCCGCUUCCGAGCUGGAUUCACAAUGCAGGAACUGCAGAGUUUGGCUAUCCCAAACUCGGUUAUCCCUUCCAAUGUUAGAUUUCUUUCUUAUGAGAAUAUGAAAAAAAGAGUCACUGGUUCUCCCGCGGCUAUGCAACACCCUUGGGUGCAGGAAGCUUUGGCUGUUACAGGAAAACUUCGAAAGGAAAUAAUGGACCUCAAGCAGCAAGUCAAUAAGCUCGAGGAGGAGAAUCGUAACCUUAGGGACAUCAUUGCCAAGAAUAUCACAUCACCAUCCCCGAAAAAGGAAACAUAAUCAUAAGGGUAUGGGCACUCCCCUUGGCAACUGCCAAGCUUGGGGGAGGUGCCCCGGUAUCGUAUCACCAUCACUUUUAUCUUUACCGUUUUUCUUAGUUCGAUCCUUUUGAUAAUAUCUUGAUCUAGUAGAAUAAAGUUCUUAGUAUGAUCUAGUUGUGAGUUUUGCUUUAUGAUCCUUCUAUGUAAUCGAGUCCGUGAGCUAUAUAUAUAAUAAAGAUUAGUGUUGAGUCAAGGGCUUGAUUAUUUUGCCAUGAUCUUGAGUGAAUAAAACAAAAGAGAAAGAAUAAAAAGAAACAAAGAGAUCAUAUGGACCUUAUGGAGAGUAAUGAGCUCACAUAGAAAGAGCAUGAUGAAUAAAAAUUGUUGAGAGUUGACAAACAUAGUUUUGGUCAUCGUUGCAAUUAAUAGGAAGUAAUAAAGAAAGAAAGGUCUUCACGUAUAAAUAUACUAUUUUGGACAUCUUUUAUGAUUGUGGGCACUCAUUAAAAUAUGACAUGCUAAAGAGUUGAUAUUGGACAAGGAAGACAACGUAAUGAGUUAUGUUUUCUUACAUCUGAGAUAAACUAUAUUGUCAUGGAUCAUCCAACAUGAUUGAGUUUGUCUUUCCCCCUCAUGCUAGCCAAAUUCUUUGCACUAAGUAGAGAUACUACUUGUACUUCCAAACACCCUUAAACCAGUCUUGCCAUAAGAGUUCACCAUACCUACCUAUGGAUUGAGUAAGAUCCUCCAAGUAAGUUGUCAUCGGUGCAAGCAAUAAAAUUGCUCUCUAAAUAUGUAUGACUUAUUAGUGUGGGAGAAAAUAAGCUUUAUACGAUCCUGUGAUACGUAAUAAAUAAAAGCGACGGACUGCAUAAUAAAGGUCCAUAUCACAAGUGGCAAUAUAAAGUGACGUUUUUUCGCAUUAAGAUUUUGUGCGUCCAACCAUAAAAGUGCAUGACAACCUCUGCUUUCCUCUGCGAAGGGCCUAUCUUUUACUUUUAUCUUCUACCUUGCAUAAGAGUCAUGGUGAUCUUCCCCUUUCCUUUUUAAAUUUUAUCUUUUGGCAAGCACAUCAUGUUGGAAAGAUCCUAGUAUAUAUGGCUAAUUGGAUGUGAGUUUUCAUGAACUAUUAUUGUUGACAUUACCCUUGAGGUAAAAUGUUGGGAGGCAAAACUAUAAGCCCCUAUCUUUCUCUGUGUCCGAUUAAAACUCCAUACCCAUAAGUAUUGCGUGAGUGUUAGCAAUUCUGAAAGACUAUAUGAUAGUUAAGUAUGUGGACUUGCUGAAAAGCUCUUAUAUUGACUCUUCCCUAUAUUAUGAUAAAUUGUAAUUGCUCCAAUGACUGAGAUUAUAGUUUGUUAGUUUUCAAUUAAGUUUAUGAUUCAUAUUUGAAAUUGUGAUUGAAUUGUUACUCUAGCAUAAAAGAUCAUAUGACAAUAAUUAUAAAAGUUGUCGUUCUAAGAAUGAUCAUGAUACCCUCAUGUCCGUAUUUUAUUUUUAUCGACAAGUCUAUCUCUAAACAUGUGGACAUAUUUUUCGAUUUCAGCUUUCGCUUGAGGACAAGCGAGGUCUAAACUUGGGGGAGUUGAUACGUCCAUUUUACUUCAUGCUUUUAUAUCAAUAUUUAUUGCAUUAUGGGCUGUUAUUACAAUUCUCUAUCGAUUGAAACCUAGCUAAAACUAAACAAGUGAAAAUGCCCGGGCUGUAGUGCCGGCGCAAAAGCUUCAGAGAGAUGUAAGGGGCACUCGCAUUAAACGAGAUAUAGUCAUCGCAUGGUCGAAUUGUCUACAGUUUUCUUUUUUGAGACAACGAAGUGUCCACAGUUUGCACAGGGACGACUGCAUCCAGCGAUAAUGGGCCAACCCAUUUUACUGCUACGAUGUGGGUUUCCAUUCCGGUUUUGGGAACUUUGGGAAGGUGUGUGAAGUAGUUUUUUUUUUGUGCUGUUUUUUUUUAUCCUUCUCUUUUUAGUUUCCAUUUUUUUGUAUUACUCUUCAGGUUUAUUUUGAAAAAUGUUAAGAAAUUUAAAAUCUUUGUUUGAAACUUUUAAAAUGUAUUGGGUUUAUUUUAAAAAAUGAGAUUUAAUGUUUUCCAAAAAAAUAUAAAUUUAAUAAUUUUCAUGUUUUCAAAUAUUGUUCAAGGAUUCUAAAAAUGUUCAUAAAUUUCAAAAAAAUCUUUUUUCGAAUUUUGUUUACAAAUUCAAAAAAUGAUUGUGUUGUGUUCCGAGAAUUAAAAAAAUGUUCGAAAUAGAAAAGGAAAAACAAAAAAAUCGAUCACUACAGUAGCCAGAUCGCGAACUGAGUGUGGCUCAGUGUUUAGGUUCCUUGCGGUGGAAACAGCCGACCAGCUUAGGUCCUUGCUUGAUACUGGUGAACGUUUUUCCAAGAUUUAUUUUGAUGCUCAUUGAAUGGGAGGAGACAUUUGAAUUGACUACGAGUCGCCUGUGAUGACUUCGUUGAUCUUAAAAUGUUGUGUCGGCUCUUAAAAGGAGCUGAUAGGGCGAGUGUGUGCAUGUGUUCUUAGGUAUUAUUGUACGUGCUUCGCACCGUAACCCAAGUCUGCUACAGUAAAGGACUGCUAUAGUGCCAACAGCCGUGUUACAUUGAAAACUUUGCUACAGUUCCGCGUGCUGCGCCUACUAGGGCCGGCCCAGUCGGGCUCCUAUCAGUGCGUCACUCCUCUAUUUGCCGCAUUCUGCGUUUCUUGCACCAGUUAAAUUAGUCAGCACUCACGUGCCCCUCUCACGUGGGUUGGCUCAACGCUAACUUCCUUGGAUUGAUUUUAUGGUUGACCAGUUGGCCAUUGACCAUUGCCCUUUCAUAAAAAACAAAGAUUUGAAAAGUUCAUUGGUUUGCAAAAAAAUAUUUGUGAUUUUGACAAAAAGUUCAUGAAUUUUAAAAAAACAUACUUUUCAACAAAAAAUUUAUUGAUCUUGGAUUAAAAAUUUGUGAAUUUAUAAAAAUCAUGUAUUUGAAAAAAAUUGUGAUAUUUGAAGUUAAAUUUUUUAUAAAAAGGUUCAAAAAUUUCAAAUUAUUUCCUGAUUUAAAAAAUAUUUAUGGAAUUUUCUAGAACCUAUGGAUUAGAAAAACAUUCAUGGAUUUUAAAAAAGCCUGCCAUGUUGGAAAAAGAUUAUGAAUUUAAAAAAGGUUUGUGGAUUUAUUUCUAAAAAAUAGCGAAUUUUAAAACUUCAUGGGUUUGAAAAAUAGUCCAUGAUUUUUUAUUCACGCAUUAAAAAAAUCAAUCAUGGAUUUAAAAACAUAAAAAAAAGAAAACAAUAAACAGAAGUAAAAAUAAAAAUGGAAGAGAGAAAGGAAAAAUAAAAAUAAAACUAAAAAGGAAAAAGGAAAAAGGAAAAAGGAAAAAAUGUAAAGAAGAAGAAAAAAAUUAAAAGCCAACAAAACCUGUCCCGAAAAGAACGAGAGAACAACCAAGGAAAAGGUCCCAAACCGGGGGAGAAAAACUAUAUGGGCCGGCCCACUGUGGACGAUAGGGAGCUUUAAGCAUUGCUGCUUGGAGAAGGAGGAAACUAUAAAGUGGUCUUCAAAGAAAUGCAAACCUAACUAGAUUAUGGACUUCAUAAUCUAGUUAGGUUUGCAUCUUCUUUAGAUGAGGGUGUCUACUUCAUAGAUUAUGGACUUCAUAAUUUGAGCCUCCCACUCCCAUGUCCCUGGCCAGUCGUGCCCCCGGCGGCCGCCCAUGCCAACGCCUACUCCGGCGACGCUUCGGCCGGUCGCUGCCGAGCUUCUCCGCCUACUCCUUGCUUGUGCAUUGUGCCAUCGAGCGCCUGCUCCAUCGUUGACUUGUUUACGAUUGACCUUCAGAAUCAACCCAACAACUGCAAGUAUGGGUAUGUAGAUGAUAAUAUACGGGGACCUACAAAAUAUUUUAUGGGAUCUAUUCAGUGUGUCUUUUUCAACCUAUACUACAAAUUGAAGUGUUUGAUCACUUUUAUGGAUCUGUCAGAGAUGCCCUAACCGGCACAAAAGACACCGAAUAGUUGUUGUUUUUGCUGGUUGUUGUUUUUUGAGACAGCUUACCUGGUAAAAGGCACCGAAUAGGAAAUGGCUAUGUUCAUGCCGGCACCGAACCGAACGGGCGUCGGCACGAGCGAGCAACCCCGUGGCCGUGGACGAAAGCCACUACGGUGGUGCUGGUGCGUCCUAGCAACACGAGGUUUGGUGAUGUUUCAAUAUAUGGAGUGAAUUUCAUUUUGUUACCUCAUAGGUCCAUGUUUGUGUGCAUCUUUUUGGUGCAGAAGCCGGGAGUUUCAAAGUUUUUUUCUAAAAAAAUAGUUUCUAGUUUUUUUAUGACGUCAUUUAUCCCAUUUAGCAGGCUUAUCACGUUUUUGCCUAGUUUAAGUAAAUUUGUGCCACUGUUUACCUUUUUUAAAAUUUCCUCCCCAUUUUUUACCUCUUUUAAUUUGUUUGCCACUCCUUUAUACUCCCCUAAAUUGUGUUGGAUCAUAGCAACAUACUCUGCUUCGGUUAGAGCAUCUCUAGCAGACCCCGUAUAAAGCCGCGGCCCGUAAAAUAACCACCAAAAUACAGAUCGGCACGAAAAAUCAUGCCCGACCAUACACUGUAAACGCGUCUGACCCGUAAAGAUCUCCCUCAAUCUUUAGAUUCACGGGGGUGGGAGGCCGACUCGAGCUCGGCCCCUACCCAUAGCGAGGUUUGGUGCGAAGAAAAUUUCCGUGUGGCCGUUCCCGCUCCCCCACCUCUUCGAUGCCAUUGCCCCCGCCACCGCCCACUCCGGCGCAUCUUCCCCGGCAGUUCUUCUCCGCCAUGGAAGCCUCCCAGCCGUCCCCCGUCACCGUUGAGAUCGCGCACGCGCAAUCCCCUCCGACGGAUCUCGUCGCCGGCCAUGUUGCUCCCGUCGUCGCUCAAAACACCACUGCGCCUGCCCGCAAGCGGCAGGGCAACAUGGUCGUGCAGGGUGGGAAUCCGGCUGGCCCCGCCGAGAAGGCCCGUGCUCUGGCGCCAACGCCGUUGUGCGAUCCCUGUUGGCAGCGGAAGGUCGGCAAGGUCUUGGCCAUGAAGCGGAAGAAGAUUCCUACAACGAGGCCAGCGCCUUCAUCCACUCCCUCCGCCCCAGCAAGAGGUUCCCCGACGAUGCCGUUCAACGGCACUGCUUCCACCGCUAGCAAGGUGUUUGACGAAAUGGCCGAAAGGUAUGCCUCUUAGGUCCCUUCAAUUUUCUUUGCUUUUCGCCAUAGCGGUAGCUCGUGACUUAAUGUCGCUCACUAUAGCGGUGGUUCGAACAAUGCCACUGCCGAGGUCGUGAACUUGUUGGACACCAAUGCGUUGACAUCGGUCAAGCCCCGUAAAAAAGUAUCUUCUGUGAAUAUCUUUUUUACGGGCGGCCCGCAUAGCCCUUUUCCAUGAACUGUAUACGUUUUAUGCGGGUCCGCGUUUUACAGGAUCUGCUAGAGAUGCUCUUACACUUUUCUGCAGAAACGAACAACGAUCCACCCCAUCACUCCUGCUCUCUGUCUGUAACUGACAACAACUUUCAGAUGUAUGUAAAGAUGAAAUCCAAAGCGAGCAGCUAGAUUCCAUUAAGCUCUAUGUCCGCGUAGAAAAGCAUACGCAAAUCGAAUGACUCCACUUCCUUCAGCUCUCUUGAUCGCAGCUACGCUGCAUGCAGCUAGGCAGCAGCAAACCAGGUUUGUCGCCCCAGCACGUACGCACAUGACAGUCCCUUGUGUGCAAGAGAUGCUUAUCUGGAAACGGCACUUGCUAUUGCUAGUUAAACAGACUUCUCUUUUGCUGUGGAUUGGUUAACAGACCUCUUCCAGUAUGCAUUCCAAUGGAAACGGCAUAGCUAAAAAGAAGAACACUUCCUUGUGUCCAGGGAGUGCUUAUCUAGAAAUAGCACUAGCAGUUGCACUUGCUAUUGCUAGAUAGACAGAAUUCUCUUUUGGUGUGCGUCAGAGUAUCUCUAACCGACCCCUUGUAAUUUAGGCCUCUACAAUCUUUUAUUCUUUAACCUUUUAUAUUUUUUGCUUUGAAAAAUUGUGCUCCCUUCAAAAACUUAACUCCCUCACAAAUUUUUAUCACAAAUUCAUUUACUUUUAGGCCAUCGAGUUAAACUUCACUGCUUCAUCAAACGACAUGUUGGUCACAUACUUCAUCAGUUCUUUGCUAAGAGCACUAAGCCAAAGAAAACUACACGAAAAUUUACACACUUGAAUAGAAACACCACUUCCUUGACCGCUUCUACUAGUCUGAUCAAUACCUUUUUUAUCUCCUGUUCAUUGCCUACAUUCUUACUCUUCUCCGUUGGCUUUUCAAGCUGGCAUACUUGUAUCUUCUCUGUAGUCUACAUCAACAUCUAGUAGAUUUCUCUUUAUCAAUAUAUAGAUCAAUGUACUCUUAUUUACAAUACCAUCACUUGCAUCCUUUCUCCCUAAAAUUAAAAGCAAACAAUGAGUUUAAAAUUGUGACGAAUCCGAAGAACAACCUUACAAAAUUGAACUCACUCUGUCGAUUUCACACUUGUAGAAAACCCAUCCGGAUGUUUGGGUGUUCUCGAGAUGUGGCACAUACCCAACCCCAAGUAAUCAUCACACUUGAUGACCGGUAGAGGCUCGCUGACGAGCUGCUCGACGAUGGCUGAGCCCGAUCGACCGGCGGAUGUGGUUGCGCCGGCGGUCGGUUGACGGGUGAUAGGCAAACGCCGAGAGGAGCAGGACAUACCGCCAGGCGGCGCAGAGCUUUUGAGGUGGAUGCGCGGUUCAGUCGUCGACAAAUCAAGCCAAAAUGCGAUGGCGCCGGGGCCGGGGUGAGUUGAAUCCGGCGUCGGUAGCGACGGGCAUAAAUGUGUUGAUUUUAAUAUUUUAAAUAGUGGAUUAUGUCAAAUAGCGGCGGACUUUCAAAUCAGCUAUAGCAAAGUUAUAGCAGGCAACGAUGGCAAGAAGUGAUCGGAUCGAAGUGGGGAGGAGCGCGGUGGGUGCUACGUGGUGUCGGCGGGACGUGUGGUGGCCGAUGAGACAAGUAUAUUCCAAAGUCGGUGCAGCUGUGGUCUAAUACCGAUAAGGGAUUGGGUAGGAACGGCUUAGAAGUGCAAAACUGAACUUUUAUUCCUCGAAAACUGUAUAAGGGAUCGGUCAGAAGAUAAUAGACCUCUUUCGUGCUUUCGCAUGCGAUGAAAACGACAUAGUUAAAAACACUUCCUUGUGUCCAAGGAAUGCUUAUCUAGAAAUAACACCAGCAUGGACUCUCAUUCGCGGAAUGCUAUUUUUCUCCACCACUUUCGCGAAUGUCAUUGCACAACGAAACUUUGCAAGCACUUGAAAAAUUCAACAUUGGUUGCCAUAAAAAAAUUCAUAAUUUUUUGAAAACCGUUUCCGUUAAUUUUCUUUUUAUUGCUCAGGCAGGUGCAUCGAUGCUCAUGAGCAGAAGAGGACUUUCGCCAGCUACAACGCCCAGAUAGAGCCCAGCAGGGAUUAUCCCAGAGAAACUGACUAACCUAGAUGAUCAAGGCACGCCAACAUACCCAGGCACACUCCCAUGAUUGCACUUGCAUGCCGUCAACAAAUGAUAAUCCUGCCCAGCGCAGAUUGAAGUUCGGCGUCCUCAGCCUAUAAAUGCCCAAUUUUUCGGAGGCAACCCUCUGUGCAACCCAGCUGACCAUCGAUCCAUCUCUCGAGAUUCCAGAGACUCCACUGCAAUCCAGCUCCCCAUUGACCCGUCUCCCUGGAGACUCCACGACGCGCGAAUGGCGCUGCCCUCCGAGGAGGUGGUGGCCAUACUCGCGCCGAUCAUCGUGUACUGGGUCGCCGCCGGCGUGUACACGGUGCUCGGCCGUGUACUGGCUGACCACAGGCUCCACUCGAGGGAGGAGGAGGAGGUCAGGAACCUCGUCCCCAAGCGUGUCGUGGUCCGCACCGUCCUCCUCCAGCACGUUCUCCAGGCGGCCAUAGCCUUCGCCGUCUUCAAUGUAAGCGCAGGUGUACCACAUUCAUCGAUGCUAGCUACUCAGGUGGCCGUGCAACUGAACUCAAGUUAUUACUGGACGCAGGUGAAGCGAGAAGAUCGCCGGGCUGCCGACGCCGGCACCGGCGCCGCCACUCCCGCCGUGGCCGUCGUCUGCUGCCAGUUCAUGGUCGCCAUGGUGGUCCUCGACGCGUGGCAGUACGGGUGGCACCGCCUGAUGCACAGCAGCGGCCUGCUGUACCGCCAUGUCCACUCCUGGCACCACCGGCUGGUGGCGCCGUACGCCUACGGCGCCCAGUACAACCACCCGCUGGAGGGCCUGAUACUGGACACGGCCGGCGGCGCGCUGGCGCUGGCCGUGACGGGGAUGGCGCCCCUGACGGCCGCCGCCUUCUUCUCGUUCGCGACUCUCAAGGCCGUCGACGACCACUCCGGCGUGCUUGUCCCGGGCAACCCGCUGCAUCUCCUGUUCCGCAACAACACGGCCUACCACGACGUCCACCACCAGGUUCGUGGUGGCCGCUGCAACUACGCGCAGCUGUUCUUUGUGGCGUGGGACAAGCUGAUGGGCACGUACGUCCCUUACGAGGUCGUCAGAGCUCCGCACGGCGGACUGGAGGCCGUGCCGUUGAAGAAGAAGUUGAAGACCUGACGGACGGUGCCAGGACAUGAUCUUCGUCAGGGGAGCUGCGCGCGUCCCUUCGCUGGAGCGUGAGUCAACCACACCACUAGGCAUGCACCUUUUCAGUAGCGAGGAUCAUGUCACCAACUCACCAUGUCAAGUCUGUCAACGUCCGUAUGAUAGUAAGGGCUCGUGAAUCAUGAUCCGGACCGGUUUGUAACAACGAAUACUUUGCCUGGCGUCGAUCCCGACCGUGUGUACUAAAAUAUGUUUGUUAUGGCAGCCAAUUAGUGUUAAUAACGAAAUUCAGAAAUUGACGUGAGGAUCCCGAACGACGGGAUUUGCCAUGAUAAAUCGAACAUUUUUUAUAACAAAUUUAGUUGAUGUGAGGAUGACAAGUUUAGUUGACAAGCACGGCAAUUCCCUGGCAAAAAACAAAUUGAAGAGGAAUUGACAUGCUUAUCAACUAAAUUUGCCAUCCCUCCUGUAUAUAAAUUGCCACAAAAAAAAUUAGAUUUGCCAUGGGUAAAUCCCAGACGUACAAGACUUAUCGGCCUUCAAUAUUUUUUUAGUGUUCAUUAUGCAUAAAUUUGGUUGCCAUCUUUUUUUGACAAAAUUUUCAUUGUUAUUUGGCUAUUCUUUGUGGUCAAAUGACAACCAAGGAGCUCUAGCCAAAAAAAUAGUUACUUUUUUGUCAACCAACAUUUUCUGUUUGCCACGGGCACCUUGGAUGUCCAAAGAUGGAGAAAAUUUGCACGAGCAUAUUUACAUUUUUUUUUCGCCAAGAGCUCCUCGAGUGUCCAAACAACACAAUUUUUACAUGAAUCCGUGUAUUUUUUAUGCCAAAAGAAUUCAGUUUUUUUAAUUCACUGUUCAUCAAACACAACUUAUGUGGCGAUCAAACCGGUGAACAUGUUCAGAAUCUAGUUCUGGACGAAACUUAUCUGGUUUAAAACUUGAAGGACCAAAUGUCUACCAAAAAACCUUGAGGGACCAAGUCUACACUUUUGGGGAACUUAAGGCACCAAAAACAUACUUUUCCCAAUUUAUUACUAGUGAUAUUCAAACAGUAAGCCUGAAGAUUCUAGUUAUCUCUUGGGACCCCUUAUAUAAUACCUUUUCUCAGAAAUCCAGGCCAUAGAUAAUACCUUGUCCACUGUGGUGUCCAAAAGAUGAUCAUGAGGAAAAUACUUUGCUUUUGACAAACCGACACAUACGUAAUAGAAAAUUGAUAUGAGCCUCCAAGCCUGUCUACCCAAAAUUUCUCGAUUAAACAGUUCAAGAUCUCAAAAACCAAUUCCUCGGUGACCUUUUGGUUUAGCAAUCUUGACUCAAGACAGCCAAUGAACUUUAUCAGGUCUUUUUCAUCUCCCAACCAAGAAAUAUUAUUUGUGUCAAAUGAGCAUGAAACCCCGUGUGAAAUUACCCACAGUACAAAUACGAAUAGCGGACCUAUUUGAUGAUAAUUUCCUUAGAUCCACUAGAUAAAAACUUUUCAAUACAGUCAACAUGAUGUUUAAGAAACUUAUCUUCAAUGCUUUUGAAUUUUCCCGCUUUCAUGCACCCCUUCGAAACUGGGAGCUCCAAUUACUUAUCCUCAAAACUUUCCAAAGAAUAUUUGUAUCGAAACAAAACCAAGCAUUUGUUUGGGCUCGGGAAUCGGCCGAUACCCAUCUCACAUUUCUUCAAAAUGUGCUUAACUUGCAAGGCUUGAUCUAAAUGGCACGAAAGAAAAGGUAUUAUUAUGUGCUUACAAGAGAUGAACUACCCCACGCUUUGUCUACAUAUCCUAAACUCCUGCAAGACAAGAGACAAAACGUUACAAAAAGGAACAAAUAAGGUCAGAGAGGUUGCCUUGGCGUAUCCCUUGAUUAGGCCCAAAAGACUCACACAACUACCCACGAAAUCGCACAUUAUAUUUUACAGGCAUAACACAUUGCAUGAUCGAGUUUAUCUGAAUGGCUAAAAAUCCGGAGGCAUUAAGCAUCAUUCCAAAAGCACCAAUCCACAUGGUCAUAGACCAUUUUGAUCUCCAUUAAGCGUCUUUUUUUCAUCUCCCUACCAAAAAGUAUGAUUUGUGUCAAACCAUGACAAAGACCCACAGGAAAUUUAGAUAACCCAUAAUGUAAGUAUGAAGAGCCUAGGUGAACUAUUGGAUGAUAAUUUCCUUACUUUCACUGGAUAAAUAUUUCUCGGCCCAAUCGGCAAGGUAUUUAAGAACCUUAGCUUUCACAUGCUUUAGAAUUUCCCCGCUUUCAUGCACCCUCAUGGAUUGGGAGCCGCCAAUUACUUAUCCUCAAAGCAUUCAGCUAGAAUUUGGAGGGAAACUGCACCUGGCGUUCCAUAAAACAUUUGUUUCCAAACAGAAUCGAGCAUUUAUGAGUAAAUGGCACUCGCGGUCUAAGAACUUGGUCUGCGGGUGCACUUUAGUCACACAACUUGCAACCUGAAAAAACCCGUCACAGAACUUGCGUUGCUGGUGCAUUUAAGUCACACACGCGAGCUGAACUGGUCGGACGCCCGGUUUUCUCUGUUCUGAGGUUACGGGCGGCGCACAUGGCAGCUGUGGAGGGUUGGAUUUUUGCAGAUAGCCCCCUGAACUCUCAUGUAAUGCCGCAUUGUUACUCCCUCUGUUCGUUGCCGAUGGGAGAGGAGACAGGUAGCGCUACUGCCUCAUCGAGCUCGUCGGCGGCCAGGCCGCCGUCGCCGACGGUGUGGUGGCGUACAAGACACGCCCGCGGAAAUCCUGCUCGAGGACCGGCAUGGCAGUCGUGCGGGCGAUGGCAACCCGCCCGCGCUCCGGCCGCAUCUUCGGCUCGGCGCGCUGCCACAUCUCUUGAGGAAAGACAUUCGAGCCCCGGAUGCGAGGCCAUGCACGGCGGGCGCCAAAGACCUCGCUUCACCGACGCCGGUACUGGUACAUGCAUAUGUGCUGAUCUUAGUUGGUCACUCACUUGCGCGUCCGCCAUGAUUCAUGUGGAUUCACCCUGUUUUCAGUUGAGCUGAAGCUUUUCUCUGCUGCUUCUUCUUCUUCCUCCUCUUCGAUUUGCAGGAGAGUAGUAAUACUAUAAUAACAAAUCCAAUGCAAGGAGGAGGAGGAGGCCCUGCGCCUCACGAUCAUCAGCCCAAGAGACCGCCGCACCACUCCAUCGACAUCCCGGCGGAGAGCAGCGCGCCCCUCACACCGACGGCGGCAGCAGAGGUAGAAGCUGUAGCAGCAACACCGGGCUCCAACGCCAGCAGAAAGUCCGGCUCAGAUUUCGUUCCGGCAAGCCGCCGGCGCCGCAGCACACGCCGUCCUUCAUGCUGAGGCGAACGGUGCGGAGCCUCCUGCCGGGAGGGGGCAGCUUCAAGUCGUCGGUCAGAGGCUAUGAGGCGUCCCUCUCCAGGCUCUUCAGCGGAAGGAUCGCUAGGACCUCGUCGCUCCCGGCGGCGGACGAUGGCGUGCUCUCGGCCUCCGUGCACGCCGCCAACAAGGCGCCGCCGAGUGUUCCUGCCGCCGCUGUAAGCAUUUUGAUCUAGUUUUAUUUUUCUUUGUUUGUAUUAUGACGACCAUGAACAUAUCCGAACUAAUUUGGUGGCAGGAGAAGACGGGCAUGCACCGGUCGCAGUCCCUCCCGAUGAACAUGAAGUUGAGCUCGCCCAAGAGCAUCAAGAGGAUGAACUUGCUCGACGGCGUGUACCGCGUCGUCCCUCCCCCCGUGAGCCCCCGCCGCCACCGCCGCGGCAAGCAAUGUCGUGCCGGACAUAGUCCCCAUAGAACCAGGUGGGUGGAUGCACAUCACUCUCCAACAUUCAGUCUGAAUUCUGCUGCUACCUCGGUCUAAAUUCCGCCACACAGAGUUCCUAAAACUGUGCACACAAGGUGCUAAUGGGUGACACCGUCUAGCUGCUCCAUGAGAAUGGAGGGAGUAUCAAUGUGGCAUUACGUGAGAGUUCAGGGGGCUAUCUGUAAAAAUACAGCCCUCCGCAUCCGCCACGUGACCUCGGAACAGAGAAAACCGGGUGUCCGACCGGUUCAGCUCGCGUGUGUGACUUAAAUGCACCCGCAACACAAGUUCUGUGACGGGUUUUUCCGAUUUGCAAGUUGUGUGACUAAAGUGCACUCGCAGAACAAGUUCUUAGACCGCGAGUGUCAUUUACUCAGCAUUUAUUUGAGCUUCGGAGUUGGCAAGUAUGCAUAUCAUAUUUCUUCGGAAUAUCCUUAACUUGUAAGGCUUGAUCAAAAUUGGCACGAAAGAAAAAGGGAAUACCAUAUGUGCAUAAGAGAUGAGAUAUUAUUCGCUGAUGAUUCCCUUAUACUCAUGAAGGCAGAUAUGAUUAAUGCAACCUCAUUAAGAUCAGUGCUUGAUGCUUAUUGUGCUAAUUCAGGCCAGCUUAUUAGUGAAGCCAAAUGCAGUAUUUUUCUCAGUCCAAAUGUUGAUGUGGAAAUAAAAGCCCAGAUGUGUACUGAACUUAAUACCCACACUGAAGCAAUUUCUGAAAAGCAGGACUACAAACUUUUAAGCGUGGACACAUUUGGAGAGUUGGCUCAGGAGAAAAAAUUAACAUUUGGGAGGACCAUUGGAUCCCAAAUAGUCAUUCCAGGAAAGUUUUUACCAGGAGGGGAAACUGUAUUUUGCGUACUGUUGAUGAGUUGAUUGAUCAACAUAAUGGUAGCUGGGACGAACAACUUAUCAGAGACAUUUUCUUACCCAUUGAUGCGAACAAUAUUCUUGCAAUCCCGUUGAGUCCACAUCUACAGGAAGAUUUUGUGGCAUGGCAUAAGACAAAAAACUUUUUGUUCUCUGUCCGUUCUGCCUAUCACAUUGAAUGGGAUCAUCAGUUCGGCGCACGAACUAGAAGAGAAGAUGGGCAAGGCUCUGCUGAACCGAACCCGGUGUGGGACAUUUUAUGGAAGCUGAAAAUUCCAAGUAAAAUUAAGGUGUUUAUAUGGAAGGCUCUGCAUGGUACAGUUCCAGGCAUGGCGAUUCUUGCUUCACGACACAUACCCGUCUCACCACAGUGCCCUAUUUGUCGGUCGGGUCCGGAGAAUAUUCGGCCCUUGUUAUUUACAUGCACUCGUGCAUGGAAGGUUUGGUCUGCGCUCGGGCUCCUGGAUAUCAUUGAUGAUGCACUAAUUGCAGACAUGUCAGGAUCAGUAGUACUUGAGCAUAUUAUUUGCAACCCAAACAAGAAGUCACCGGUCCUGGGUAUGUUAGGAUUGCAGGAGUCAGUAGCCGUUGCGUGUUGGUACGUAUGGUGGCAAAGGAGGGAAGCAGUGAAGGGCGAAACUGUAGCAGAUCCCCCCCGGACGGCCUUUGUGAUUCAGGCUGUAACAUCAAAUUUUGGAGCUGUUUCCCAUUCCAGUAAACCACAUGAAAUAACGUGGGAAAAGCCAAGGCGAGGAUGUUAUAAAUUAAAUACAGAUGCUGCUUUUCGCCAAGAUGGUUCGCGUGCAGUUGGGGUCGUCAUACGUAAUAGUGCAGGUGAGGCUGUAGCAGGAGCUGCAAGUCCUUUUCAUACGGCCUUUGAUAUUGACUCGGCGGAGGCCCUUGCACUGCUAAAAGGACUAGAAUUAGUUGAGAAGUUGGGCUGCACCCAUAUCACAUGUGAGUCCGAUUCAUUGGAGCUCAUUCAGGCAUGCAAUGGGGAGCUGGAGAUCUAUGGUCUUUAUUCUGCGACUUUAGCUGACUGCUUUGCGAGAGCCAAGAUGAUUGAUGGAGUUUCUUUCUCCCACUGCCCUAGGGAAGUCAAUCGAGUUGCUCACCUUCUGGCGAAGCACUCUUAUGAUACUUAGUCUGCAUUUGAUUGGGAUGGAGAUCCACCCAAUUUCAUUCUUUCUUAUGUAAUAAAUGAUGUAACUCUUUUGACUGUGAAAUAAAACACCGAUAGGUUUUCCCUUCAAAAAAAAGAUGAGAUAACCUGGGACUUUGCCUACAUAUCCUGAACUCAUGCGAUACAAGAGACAAAGCAUCAACUGGAAAAAGGAAUAAAUAAGGUGAGAGAACGUCACCUUGGUGUUUCCCUCGAGUAGGCUCCCCGCAACUGACACAUCACAUGAUCCAGUUUAUCCAAAUGACAGAGCCCCCUAGGCAUUAAGCAUCCCUUCCAAAGCACCAGAUCACAUGGUCAUAGACGUUGGGCAAAUCGCACAGAGGUCGACCAUAUCUAGUUCAUAGGAGAGCAUGGAAACAUUGAAAAGCAAUGAUGGUGUUCUAGAUAAUCAUUAUACCGAAGGCACGUCCCCCGAGCGUCGCCUCUGGCGCACGGGAGAAACCCUAACUGCGCCGCCAGCCGCCCCUCCCCGCUCCUCCCUUGCUUCGCCGCCGCCGGAUGGGACACCGGCGAAGCCCGCGUGGUCCCAGGGAAGGUGGCGGCGGGGCGUCCUCGUCGUUCUCGCGCAGAUCUCGCGACGGCGGUGGCGAUCCGCGGCGGCUGGUGGCGCGCGGCGGUGUUCCGCCGGUGGCUGGCGCCUGCUGCCCGUGGGGCGGCGUCCCUCACGGCGGCGGGGCUUCCCCUGAACGGCGCUUGGUGGUGGCCACGUGGCGGCGCGCGGGUGGGCCGGAUCUUGGCUUCCGGUCUGCGUCCUCGUCGUGGCAGCGCUUGCCGUUGCCCUCGGCCAUGAGGCGUGGUCCGGGACGGGCCGAGCGCCGGUGGUGCUGGCCAGGACGCACGCUGGCAGCGCCCUACUUCAUCUCGCGUCGUCUCGCUGGCCAAUGGUGGUGGUCAUCUUCUACGUCAGAGAUGGCCGGCCAGAGGCUUGGUGAUCGGAUCUCGAGAUCCAUCAUCUAGUCUCGGCUGCGAGUUGGGGAGACAUGGUUGCCGGUGAAAACCGAGCCGUUAGCAGGUGAUGGCGGCGUUCUACGUCGUUACCUUGAUGGAGGCAUCGUCGUGUAACUACUGUUGACCCACUCGUGCUGCUCUGAGGGAAACCCUAGGAUCUGGUGUUCCAGAUCGGACGAUGGCGGCACUGCGGUGUCGUUUCUCUCUUGGGAGCAUUGUUUGUGGAGCAGCGCUGGAAGUCAGAGGCAGGAGGUGGAGCGGCUUCGCCUUGCAUGGAGCUUCGAUGGAAAUGUUAAGUCAUGCCUGACCGACAGGUGCUACGCUUUGUCAUGCCUGGUCGGCAGGUGCUACGCACGACAGAUCUUCCAAAGACUUCAAGUUGUGUCGGCUGGUGGUACUUGGCAGCAUGGUGCUGAGGUGUAUCAGUGGCGACCGCGACGUGCACAGCUGUUUGCGCGCAGGGAGGAGGUGCCGUUGGGCGCGUGGUGGCGUCCGCGAUAGCUAGACUGAGCAAGGUUGAUGCAUCAGUACAGUUCUGAAGAUGGAGCGAUGGCAGUUGGCGGCAGCGGCCUCUGAGAGCACGCCGGACCGGCAAGACCCAUGCCCGACAGGCGUCCUGAAUGGGUUCUCAGGUCUUAGAUGUUAGGUUUGGCUGCGAUGUCUGUUUGGUAUUAGGCCCAAGCUAUCUGCGUCUCUUCAUCAACUGAAUAGGUGUAGCGACAGUUUGUUGCUUAGACGGCGGCUUUAGUCUUACUUUGAUAUUACUUUGUAAGGUCUUGGGAGAAUAAUUAAUAAAGUGGCUGUAUGCAUCGACGAGAUGCAGUGGUUGGGGGUCUAUAUCAGAAAUGAAAGAACUUUGAGUAGGAGAGAUCAAACCAUCCAAAAGAAACUGCACGGCCACCAAGCACUUUGAGAUAAUCUUGUGUAUGCCAUUGCAUAGAUUGAUUGGUCUUAAAUCCUGAACCUCGUCAUGUUUUUCUUCUUUAGGAUAAGAACAAUAGAAGUGCCGCUGACACCCUCUCCUGCAUAUCAUCAGAAAAAAAGUUCUAAUUACUCUAAAAAAAUCUCACCAGGAAAUGCUAAACCGCACAAAUAAUAUUCACUAAACACUUGCGUCUUUUUACAAGUGUUCAUAUGUUCGUUAAAGAAAGAUGAAUUUUAACAUGGUCCAUCUUACCUUCCCUCUCACAAGAGAGAUAAGGAAGGUAAAAGUUACUUAGACCCAAUACUUAAUGAAAUCAACGGCUCAGAUUUAUUAUAUACUUUUACCUCUUGUGUGAAAAGAGGAGGUAAGAGGGACCGUGUUAAACCUAUAAAAAAAAAUCAGGUUUUCAUAGUGAGACAUGAUAAGACUACCUAUGCUCGCCAUUUUCUUUUCACACUUUCAAAACUUCACAGUGCCUCGGCUCAAUAUAAUCAGGUUUUCACACUUUCAAAACUUCACAGAGCAAGCCGUCGAUCGUCGCCGGCUUGAGGCUAUCCCCCUAUGGACGCAGCAACACUCGCUGCCGCUGUCAUUGCCGCGACCAACCACGCACACCGCCGCACAGUGUCAGCCUGUCGCCGGACGCCGAUGGGGAACAUGACGAGCACAUCCCCUUGGAGCGUGGCCACGGCCGCUCCAACCUUGACGCCGAAAGGUGCGACCGCCUCUCGCUGUCGUCGUCUAGGGACCAGACGUCCACGUACGGCCACUCGGCCAGUGCCGACGCGGCGAGUGUCCCGCUCAUGUCGAACACGUUAUUCAAAGUCGAGAAGCAGAGCACGCAGUGCUCGCCGGAGGGCCGGUGGGGGUGCAAGCUGGACGGCACGACUCACAUGCAACCGAUGCACGGCAUCGGUGCUGAGCUGAACAGCAGUUUGAAGGAAAAUAACACCCAUAUCGAUCGAGGUAACAGAUCAAAUCAAAGCAAGCAAACUUAAUCCUCACCGGGACAAACUCUGUACUAACACUAGAGUACUGCCGUGCCAAUAGACCGAGCUGGCAAAGGUAGUAGUAAAUGCUGUACUGUGUCGAUCGAGUAAAGGCAGUGUAUGCUCUAUCGAGUAUGCACUUGCUGGUCACCGCCUGAAUGUAUCGAUCGUAGCGCAUAGCAAGCACAUCAACACAUCGAUCGACCGCGAUCAAAGCAUCCUCCCACUAUUCCAGCUACUAGUACUAGGACAAAACUAUCUCAUCAUCUGAUUUCAGUGGUGCUCUCUCCCUCCCUCCCUCUGGCGUUCCACUUCGCCCUUAUGAUGUUCUUGUUUCACUGCAUUUUGUUUUUCUCUAAAAAGGAGGAUAACACCUGGCGUCUGCAUCGAACCAUGCACACAGCCAUGCUUCACCGCAUUUAAUCACUAAUUUUGUAUAUGUCCGUGCUCUCAAUCCCCACAAUUCCUGUUACGGCUGAAUUUGACCUUGUUGGUCUUUUUGUUAAGGACCUGCAUACCAAGACGAUGCUUCGAUGUGACAGCCCUGAUGAUCUUUGUCCACUCGCUCAAUGCUCCGCUCUAGUUGCACUCUCCGUCGGCUUUAAUAUGUGGCAGUGGCACGCUAAUGUUCGUCGUAUCAAUGUAGUCUUCAUACCCCAUUGCCAGUAUGUUAGCAUCAGCGGGGCCAAAGUACAUUUUCUUUUUGCGGGAGCACUUUCGUGGAUACUCGCCCACACUAUUUAAGAUAACAAAUAUGUAUUAAGUACGUUGAUCGUCAAUUUAACCAAUAAAUUGCGGAUUUUGUACCACAAAAUUAUAUAAUUGAAUUCAUAGUCAAAAUAAGUUUACAAUAGUAUAAUUUUGUGGAAAUUAUCGAGUAAUGUUCACUCCUUUGCGAGUAUUGUACCACAAAAGUAUAUAAUUGAAUUCAUAGUCAAAAUAAGUUUACAACAGUAUUUUUUUUUACGGCUGUGUCAGUUAUUGAUCAAAGUGCGUGGCCUGUGAUCGUAGCUACAAAUAAGAUUAGAAUUUACUGGUGCAUACCGAGCCAACGUGUUUCGCAAACCGGGACACUUGGUACUCAUGUAUUUAUCGAGGACUAGGCUCAGUGCGUCACCGAGAUUAAAAAUCUUAGUACUCAUACUUGGAAGGCCGUAUGCAUCCCUAGUUGGUGCAAAGGCUGGGGAAGAGAAAUUCUCCCCCAAUUUUUAAGGUUGCAAUUCAAUGGGAAUCCAUCGCGACUACCUCUUGCGUCGCCCCCCUCGUGGCCGACACAGGAGGUCUCAGCCGCCGCCUAGUCCUUCCCAGCGCUCACCCUCCCUCCUCCGUUGCCGGUGGUCGGUGCGGCAAAACCCGUGCGUGCAAUGGCGGCGACGGAGGGCCUCUCCUCCUUCCCUCGGAUCCACAGACGGCGCGGGCAUCUAGAUCCGUGGGGUGCGUCCCUUCCCACGGCGGCUAGCUUGCGGUGAUGCACGGGCGCCCAGAUCCAUGGGGUGUGGGUCUUCCGGCAGCGUGGCGACUCCUAGUGGCGGCGGGCUCAGGCGAUGGUGUGGGCCGUGUGGCGGCGGAUCUCGUCGCUCCGGUCAUUGCGGAGGAAUCUGGACCUGGGGCGGCGGCCCCGAUAGGCAUGGCGACCAAGGCCCUGCCCUCCACCCCGACCCCAUGCCCGGGUGAAGACCCAAAAUCUCCUUAGAUUGGGCGGUGACGGCACUGCGUGUGUCAUGCCCUUCUUGUAGGCGCCGCCUGGGGCAUUCGGGUGCUCGGUUAGAGGAACUACGGGCGAAGGGGAUGGGACCAGUGGCAGUAAGUGGUGUUCACAAAGGAGGGGGAGCGUGGCAUCUGGCACGUCGACAACGGCGGGCCUCGGCAGCAGGAGUAGCGGGGUCUCGGCGGUGGGCGCGUGAUGAUGGAUGAGCACAUGAUUGUGGCAUUGUCUGAUGUCGACGUUAGCUAGGCCUGGCAAGGUCGGUGCGUCAGUACAACUCUAAAGAUGGAUCGGUGGAAGACAUAUGCGGCAGCCUCUAAGAGUGCACCCGACCGGUGUGUACCCCAGACCUGGCAAUGUGGCUUGGUUGGGGCCUUCGGUUUUAGAUGUUAGGCUAUGGUGCGAGGUCUGUUUGGUAUUCGCCUCAGACUAUUGGCACCCCUUCAUCAAGUGGAUGGGAGUAGCGACAGAUGUUGCCAAGAUGAUGGCUUCAGACGUAUUGAUGUACUACUUUGUAAGGACGUUAUGAAUAAUUAAUAAAGUGGUUGCAUGCAUCGCCCAGAUGCAGAGGCCCGGGGUCUUCCUCCUUUUCUAAAAAGGAAGAAAUAACUCUGUCCAAACUCAAAAUACGAUUGAAAAUUUUGCACUCUCCAAAAGUGCUCAAAACCUUGAUAUGAGAUCUUUGCUGUUUAGAACCGUCAAUGCUACGUAAACAUAUACUCCCUCCGUUCCGACAGUCGGGACGGAGGGAGUAGUUGUUUAUUUUGCGCAAUGGAGUCUAAACUUGAUGAUAGUACUACUGUUGAAGACAGAGAAUCAUAUAUGAAGGUGGACUGUACAUUUUGCAAAAGUCUAUGUAAAUUCAUGGUUAUUCACAUUGUUCAAGAUUUAAGUCCAUUGAAUUAUGUCACUGGACAGUGUUCAGUACUGAUUACUAUUCGUGAACUAUUGACUAAACAUUUUGCAACAUCAAGCAUAUCUUAUCAAUACGCGGAAACAAAAAUGAUGUUGUUAAACAUUGGACAUUUUUCAGUCUACCAGCAGGAACUAGCAUCAUCAUUCAGCACAUGAAACAUUGGACAAUUUUAUCUUUGCACAAGUGAUUACUAUAAGCGAUGCUACUUCAGUUGUCAAUUUACUAUUGAACUUAAUUUGCAAAAUUCAUUUGCCAACUACUAUAUUAUAAAUUUUUAGAGAUAUACUCCCUUCGUUCCUAAAUAUAAGACUGACUCUAUAUGGAGUAAAAUAAGUGAAUCUACACUCUAAAAUACGUCUAUAAACAUUUAUAUGUAGCCCGUAUUAAAACGAAAAUGCCUGAUGGCGCUCAAGCUGCAUGGAGCUCGGUAUCAAGGCCACCAACAUGCUUCGUGAUCAGGCCAUAGACCAUAUUUAUUGCAUGUAUUCAGGUUGUUAGUAAUAUAUUUUAUGCCGUAUUCAGCGACAGUGUGCAGUGCACCGCACUUCUACAAGUAUACACGCAAGCACAUCCCAAGUCGUCCUUGUUGUACAUGCACGGCAUAUGCGUCACGUGCCAACCAGUGCGGCGAUAGGGCCUUUGGUGUGCAAGCACAUCAACACAUCAGAAAAAAGAGCUCUACAUAUGCACUUUCCUUUGAUUCUUUUUUUUCGCAAUUUUCCUUUAAAAUUUGUUCGGGUAGUUGGACUAAAAAAUUUCAGAUUUUCUGGAAUGAUCAUGAUGAUCUGCAUAGAAAAUACGAAAUAAUCAGGGAAGUAUGGAAAAUAUAGUGUUUUCAUGAGUGAACAGCUUUUAUAUAUGUUUUUUGUACUCGUGUAAAACUAACAAAUGUUGUUGGCAAUUCGCCUUCAGCCGGCAUCCGUGUGUAAAAUUGUGAAUUCCAUGUUGACCGUAGCAUCAUUUGCAUCGGGUGCACCACAUAUGUUCCAUGCAUCGGAAAGUAUCUCAGUGCAUCUUGAGAUUUGAUGCCGUCGGUGACACCACCUAAAAUUAUCGUCCUCUAACAAUCAGAAAAAUUACAAAAAGAAAAAUGAAAUCCAGGUAGGACUCACCACAUAACUAUACUACAUGUCAAGUUUUCAUAUUUAUUUUAGAAGCACACAUGUAAAAUUCAUUUUCUCAAAUACGCACGAAAGUGCAUAUCGUAUAUUAAAGGGGAGAAAAGGGUGCAGAAACCCAACCACUUUAGUGGGAGUUGAUUACAUGGUAGCCCACCCGCUAUCGGGCGACUCAUACAAUUUAGAGAACUCUUCGGAUAAGCCCACCUAGACAGUACAUGUAAAAUUCCUGUACGGUGAACAAUUAUUUUUUGCUGGUUUGAGCUACUACCAUGAAUCGUACAUGUAAAAUUCAUGUACGGUGAACAAAAAAAAUGUUAGUCAUGUAUUUUAUAAUUUUGUGUCGUGUACAUUUACAAAAUGUUCAACGUGUAUUUAGAAAUGGUCAUUCUAUUCUUAAAAAUAGUUAACUGAAUAUUUAGAAAAACCUAUGCCGUGUAUCUAGAAAUUGUUUAGCGUGUAUUUUAAAAAGUUUUCAUCGUGUACUUUAGUAAUAUGUGACCAAAUUUUCAAAAUUGCAUAAUUUUGUAUAAAUACGCGAAUACUUCUAUUCUUGCAAUACAUGACCAUCUUUUCACUUUCUAUAUAUAAAACUUAUUAUUUUUUCUUCAAAAAAUUAUAGUAUGUGGGAAAGAAGUUUUUUCAUGCACAAUUUUUCCUUUUUGAAUCAUGCACACAUACACGUGUGGUGUGCUAUGUAAGUGCAUCUAGUGCCCCUUAGUGAUUUUGGUGUAUUGAAGACUUAUAGGUUAAGGGACUAAUGCAUUUGUGAAUGUACACAGGUCUAUAAGUCUAUGAGGAGUUUGAUAUUUACAGAGAAAGUCGACCCCUAAAAAUAAAGUUCUUCGACUGAAGACUUUGGCUUUUUGAAGACUUUGAAAGUGAAGAAAUUGGUGUGACUUUGAAGACUUCGUAUUCAUUCGAGGAACAUGAAGCGUGAAGACUUUUGUUUUCGUAGUUUCAUUCUCUUUUUCUUGAGUCAUAGGAAACACUGUACUCUUAAAGGGGGUCGAGGAAAUACUAAGGAAAAAUUUCCAUGUGAUGCUCAACUCAAAAUCCUACACCUGCCAAUCCAUUCGAGUGAAGCCAUUGGAAAUCUCAUACAGUCCAGUCAUAUUCUUCAGUGACGGAGACGAAGUUCUUCUGGUCUCUGAGGAAUUUGUUCUGACUGAGGAGUUAGGAAUUCGCCAGUGCGGAUUGCCUACACAGUGAGGAACAUGAUAGCCCUGAGGAUUUUGCUACUCAAAAUUCCAACCGUUGUUGUGCUAUGCGCCAGCUGUCCCAAAAUAUCUAUCCACCUAACGGUCAUAUCAUUGAAGGGCAUUUAUGUCUUAUCAUGUCGGGCUGCUCCCUAGGCUAUAAAUAGCCGCCCCUACAACCACUAGCUGGUUGGCUGCUCCGAGAGAAACUGACACUUGUCAUUUGAGAGCAACCCAUCCUCUGAGGACUUUGAGCCAAAAUCAUCAAGUGAGGAAAAACCCAAACCCAAACACCUACGAACCCCAAGUGAUUGAGCAUCACUGAAGAGAUUGAUCCUGUGUGGAUCCGACGCUUGUUACCUUUGAAGACUGUGCUUCUUCCAGACGGUUAGGCGUCAUGGUCUAGAGCAUUCAAGAGGAAUUGUGGAUCACCGAGUGACCAAGUUUGUGAAGGUUUGGAAGUCGCCUGAAGACUUACCACGAGUGAUUGGGCGAGGUCUGUGUGACCUUAGCUUAAGGAGAAUACGGUGAGGACUUGGUGUCCUGAGCUGCGUGCUCAGGACUGGGUGUCCGAGACUGUGUGUCCUCGAGUUUAAAUACUCAGCCGCUCCAACCAGACGUACAACUGAGAUAGCAGUUGGAACUGGUCUACCAAAUCAUUGUCUUCACCAAGCUUACUGGUUCUAUUUCCUCAACUCUUUCAUUUCCUCAUAACUGUGUUGUGUGCUUGUUCAUAUCUGUGUUUGAAGACUUUGACUGAAGACUUUCUCAAUUUUCUCAAUUCAAUUUCUUCAGUUUGUUGUCUUCAUCCUGUGUUAUCCUGUGCUUACGCUUCCUGUACUAUGUGCCUGUCUUCAUUUCAUCAUGAUGACUAUGCUUGUGUUCUGUUAUGUUUACUUCUGAGUACUUAUUCCGCUGCUAGUAGUUCUUCGCUAAGUAAUUUCCUCAUCGGCAAAUUCCUCAGUGAAGAAUUUCAUAAAAAUCGCCUAUUCACCCCCCCUCUAGUCGAUAUAACGCACUUUCAAUUGGUAUUAGAGCAAGGUACUCCCUUGUUCUAUGUAAUUUUGGUUUAACCGUCUGGAGUUUUAGUUAUGUCGACCGCAGGUAUGAAGAAAGUGACAUGCCCCAUCUCUGACGGUCAUGAGUAUCCCAGGUGGAAGGCCAUGAUGAAGAAGCGCCUCAUGGCGAUAAACAGCGAGCUGUGGACCGUCACUGAGAUUGGUCUGACUGAUCUAUGCAAGAUGGCGGAAGCAGAUGAUAUUUGCAAGUACACUCUUCUCAACCUCACGGCGAAGGACGUCAUCUGCUCCUAUCUGUCUCAAAAUCAGUUCAAAAAUAUCAUGCAUCUCGAUCAUGCGAAGCUUAUCUGGGACCGUCUCUCUAAGGUCUAUGAAGGUCAUCGAACAUGUCAUGAUCCUUGGUUUGAGGACUGCAAGGAAUCUCUCAAAGCGAUGACAUUCGAAUCAGAAUCAUCAUCUUCUGCAUCAUGCAUUAUGGCAAAAGAUGCUGAGGUAACUGAAUGCUACCUAUCCGAGUCUAGUGAUGAUGAAUCUGGUGAUGAAUUUGGACCCAGCUAUGUCAAACUUGCUUCCCUUGCCACUAAACAACAAAGAGCUUUGGAAAAAGUUCAUUAUAUGCUAAAUAAGAGCGAUGAUAUGUUGGGUGAAGAAAUGGAUCAGUCAAAAGCUUUGGCUAAAAGUCUUCAGAGACUUCAUACUAGGUAUGACACCCUUCAAGAUCAUCAUAACACUCUCUUGUCCGAUCAUGAGAAGCUUUCUUAUGAAUUUCUUCAAAGAAAGCAAGAUUUUGAGAAGCUAAGAGUGAGUUAUGAAGACCUUCAGAAGGAGCGCGAUUCAUUACUUUCUCAACAAAUCAGCGCUUCUCAGGAAGAAUUUGUUCCUCCAUGCUUGAAGUGCAUUGAACGUGAAUCUGUUAAUUCUUCACCUGAAUGUUCAAAUGCUGCUAAUGUUUCAAAUUCUUCACAUGCCUCUGCUAUCACUAAUUCCUCAUCUGAGGACAUUUCUAGUAUCACUGACGAUGCAGGGCUGAAGGAAUUGUACAUGACAGGCAUGUACAAAAGCCUCAAAGGGCAUCGGACUCUUUGUGAUGUGCUUAAAAAGUAGAUCCUCAACAGGAACCCUAGGAAAGAGGGUAUUGCUUUUGAGAGGAAACUCAAUGCCGAUGGUACAUAUUGGAAGCCUGAGCAGGACCCCAAAACUACAUGGGUUGCUGCAAAGGGACCUCCAGUUGAUCCAUCUAACUUAUCUGGAUUUGCAUGUGAAUCUCCUCGUUCUGAUGAUGAGUCAUUAGACUCCAACUAUAAACUAUUCAAAAAUCAGAAUGGUGAAGUAUUUGCUAGAUAUGUUGGCACUAACUGCAGGAACGGUUCCUCUAUGAAGAAAAUCUGGGUUUUCAAAAGAUGCCUUGAAAGUCUUCAGGUGAAUGUCAUCAUGACACCACCUGUGAACAAUAGGAACCCCAGAUCAAAUUCUUCAUAUGGACCAAAUUCUUCAUAUGGAUCCAAGUCCUCAUACGGACCAAACUCUUCACAUGGAUCAUAUUCCUCAAAAAGAUUAAAGUUCUCAUAUGAACAUCAUCGUGCUAACCCGUCUGUUUCACACGGAAGAUCUAAGGAUUAUGGAUAUGUGCAUUAUUCUUCAAAUCAUUAUGUCCAUAAGUCCUUGAAGAAUUUCUCUGCCUACUCUUAUGCUUACUCUAACCCCUCUUAUAUGAAACGAAAUGGACUGGCUUCUAUGCCAUCCUUCUCGUAUGGAGCUCGCAGAAUGAUGAACUCUUUGGCACCCCUUCAGAUGUGGGUGGUGAAGAAAUAAAACUAAUCUCUUCUGCAGGGUCAGGUCUCCAGAUGUACGUAAUCGUCUGAAGAAUUUGCUGGAGACCUGAGUAUGCUUGAAAGGACGCAGGCUAAUCAUGAAGAAAUGAACUUUCAUUUCUCACGUCCUCAUACUGCUUUAUCUGUUUUUCUGCUUGAUGAAAUUGAUCUGAUGAAUUGAUGUCAUAUUCUUCACUAAUGAAGUAUAUGACUUCGUAAGUUGCACUAAUUCAUCUGCAAGAUGAUCAACCCAAAGCCACUGAGUGGGUCCUCGAUAGUGGAUGUAUAAAUCACAUGACUGGUGACAAGAAUCUAUUGAUGGAUGCUUCAUUAUCUCCGUCGCAUCUGAAGCAUAUCAUCUUUGCCGACAAAGGCAAAAGUCAGGUAUUGGGUCUAGGUAAGGUUGCGAUCACAAAGGAUCGACACAUGGACAAAGUCAUGCUUGUCGAGUCCUUAGGAUACAACCUUAUGUCUGUCUCAAUGCUUUGUGAUCUUCAUAUGGUUGUUGUCUUUCACAAGUAUCGUUGUGUUGUGGUUAUGGAAGCUGACAAUUCCAAAGUCUUCGAAGGCUUUAGGAGAGGAGACCUGUAUAUUGUUGAUUUCUCUACAUGACCACAACCAGCCGUGUGCCUACUUGCACAAGCUUCAGAAGGCUGGCUCUGGCAUCGACGACUUGGUCAUGCAGGCAUGAGGAAUUUGCACACGCUUGCAAAGAAUAAGCAUGUCAUUGGCAUCGAGAAUGUCAAAUUCCUCAAGGAUCACCUAUGCGGAGCCUGUGAAGCUGGGAAGAUGACAAAGGCCAAGCAUCCAUCGAAGACUAUCAUGACCACUACUCGCCCAUUUGAAUUGCUUCACAUGGAUCUCUUCGGUCCUAAUCAUUAUUCUGCUGUUUCAAAUGAAGCAUCUCAAUAUGGCUUUGUUAUUGUUGAUGAUUACUCUCGUUACACAUGAGUACACCUUGUUACUUACAAACAUGAAGUGCAGGAAGUCUUCAAACGAGUUUCCUCGAGGGCUUCAACCAACUUUGGUGUGAAGAUCAAGCACAUCAGAAGUGACAAUGGCACUGAGUUCAAGAAUUCUGGUCUCGAUGACUAUCUUGAUGAACUUGGUAUUACUCAUGAGUUAUCUGCUCCUUACACUCCUCAGCAGAAAUGGCGUCGUGAAGCGCAAGAAUAGGACUCUUACUGAGAUGGCUUGCACUAUGCUUGAUGAACACAAAACGCCUCGUCGUUUCUGGACUGAGGCAAUUGAUACUGCGUGCCACAUCAUCAAAAGAGUAUAUCUUCAUAAAUUUUUCAAGAAGACUGCCUAUGAACUCCUCACUGAUAAGAAACCCAAUGUAAGUUAUUUCAAAGUCUUCGGUGCUAAAUGUUGGAUUAGAGAUCCUCAUCACAACUCAAAAUUUGCACCGAAAGCACAUGAAGGUUUUAUGCUUGGUUACGGAAUGGACUCGCACACCUACAGAGUCUUCAACAACGUUCUUCACAAGGUUGUUGAAACUAUAGAUGUGCGGUUUGAUGAAACUAAUGGCUCGCAAAGAGAGCACUUACCUACUGUGAUAGAUGAACCAGCACCUGAGAAAACUAUCAAGUUCAAGGCUACUGAGGAUGUCAUUCCUACUGAAGAAUCUGCUGAAGAAUUCAUUCCAGAACAUGAAGAACGUCGAGCUAAUGCACCUGAAGAAAACACUGGAGAAAAUGGUGCUGAAGAGAAUAUUGAUCAAAUUCCUCAAUGACAACCAGCUCAUACUCGCAUUGCAAAAGAAGUGCAAGUUGAAAAAAUCAUCAAUGACAUCAAAGCGCCAGGUCCUCUCACACGCUCAAAAGCUUCACAUUUAUCUAACUUUUGUGGGCACUAUGCUUUUGUCUCUAUCACAGAGCCCACUAAGGUAGAUGAAGCAUUUCUGGAGUCUGAGUGGAUUCAGGCCAUGCAAGAAGAAUUACAUCAGUUCGAGCUCAACAAUGCCUGGGAACUGGUCAAACAUCCAGAUCCUUGCAAGCACAAUAUCAUUGGCACAAAGUAGAUAUACCGCAACAAGCAAGAUGAAAAUGGCAUUGUGGUGAGAAAUAAGGCACGGCUUGUAGCUCAAGGCUACACACAGGUUGAAGGAAUUGAUUCCAAUGAAACUUUUGCACAUGUUGCUAGACUUGAGGCUAUUUGCAUAUUACUUGCUUAUGCUAACCAUCAUAAUAUCACUUUAUAUCAAAUGAAUGUGAAAAGUGUAUUGCUCAAUGGUAAGCUUGAGGAAGAAGUAUAUGUUGCUCAACCCCCAGGUUUUGAAGAUCCAAAGAAUCCUGACAAAGUCUUCAGACUCAACAAGGCCAUCUAUGGCCUCAAGCAGGCCCCUCGGGCGUGGUAUGAUACCUUGAAGGAAUUCUUCAUGAAGAGAGGCUUCAAACCCGGUUCACUCGACCCUACUCUUUUCACUAAAUCUUAUGAUGGUGAAUUGUUUGCGUGCCAAAUAUAUGUUAAUGAUAUUAUCUUUGGUUGUACUGACCAAUGUUAUAGUGAUGAAUUUGCCUAUAUGAUGAGUGAAGAAUAUCAAAUGUCUAUGAUGGGAGAGUUGAAAUUCUUCUUAGGUCUUCAAAUUCGUCAACAACGCAAUGGCAUAUUCAUAUCUCAGGAGAAAUACCUCAAGGACGUACUGAGGAAAUUCGGCAUGCAAGAUUGCAAAGGCGUAAAAAUUCCUAUGCCCACAAAUGGCCAUCUGUGCACUGAUGAAAAUGGUAUUGACUUCGAUCAUAAGGUAUACCGCUCCAUGAUUGGCUCUUUAUUGUACUUAUGUGCAUUUAGGCCAGAUAUAAUGCUUAAUGUUUGCAUGUGUGCCCGAUUUCAAGCUACAACGAAGGAAUCACACCAUAAGGCUGUGAAGCAUAUUCUUCGAUAUCUAGCUCACACACCAACACAUGGAUUAUGGUACCCCAAGGGCUUGGCUUUGAUCUCAUUGGAUAUUCUGAUUCUGACUAUGUUGGUCAUCGUGUGGACCGCAAGUCAACAUCUGGUACAUGUCAUUUCCUCGGACGAUCUUUGGUCUGUUGGUCCUCGAAGAAACAGAACUGCGUAUCACUAUCUACUGCUGAAGCUGAUUACACUGUCGCUGGUUCUUGCUGUGCUCAAUUGCUAUGGAUGAAGCAAACUCUCAAGGACUACGGCGUCAACAUGAAGAAUGUGCCUCUCUUCUGUGACAAUGAGAGCGCCAUCAAGAUUGCUCACAACCCAGUUCAGCACUCGAAGACUAAGCACAUUCAGAUUCGUCAUCAUUUUCUUCGUGAUCAUGUGUUGAAGGGCGACAUUUCUAUUGAGCAUGUGAAGACUGAAGAACAUCUAGCCAAUAUCUUCACAAAGCCCUUGGAUGAGAAGAGAUUUAGUUAGUUGCGGUGUGAGCUAAAUAUCCUAGAAUCUUCGAAUGUUCUUUGAAAAGGACACUCAUCCUAACACUUAUGCAAAAUUGAUGACUUAGAUGUGCAACACAUGAAGAAACGUUUUUCUUCAAUCAAUGAAGAAUAACACUCUUAGUAUGAAAAAAUUAACGAAGAAUUUGAUUCUCAGAACCCUACGAUAAUUAUACGCGAUGUCUGAAAUCAUCAUCCUUAUACGGUGGGUCACGCCACCACCAAAAGUUGAAAUUCCUUAGUUGUUCAUAUUCUUCAACUUUGCAUUGUCUUCACUGUUUCCGUCGUUUUUCUUCAUUGGCUAUAUAUAUAUAUAUAUGAGUUUAUGUCCUCUACAACAUUCACUUAUUGCUAAUUCUUCAAGUUGGUUUUUCUGCUAAGUGAAUGUGAUCGGACCCUUCCCUAUCUAUGCUAAACUCAACGCAAUCUGUUCACAAAUUCUUCAUGUGUGUUCUAUUUGAAACUCCUUCAAAAUCUUCACUGUGUCCUUGUCAGCUGAAGAAAUUGCGAACAGAACUUUAAAACCUAUCUUAUCUAAAUUUUCGGCUUUGCCGCUCAAACUGUUCCGCAUCCCAUGAUACACUUAUCCAUUCACCCACGAUCGUACAGGAUCUCCACCUCUCAGUACGUGGGUGACACAUGUCAAGCGAAUGAGAAGGGUCAGGAGCAUGUUCGUCCAAUUUCUUCGGGCGAACAGUUUUUCACCGUGGCUAUAAAUACCCCUCUUCCCCUUCCUCACUUCUUUUACUCCGCUCGACCUCUCUCCAGCUCGACUUUCUCAAACCCUAGCGCCUCCGCUACUUCAUCGUCGCCGGUGAGGAAGAGCUUCACUGUCUCGACCUCGUCGCCGCCGUACUCGUGCCGACCACGGAAAUCUUCACUCCACCGCCGCCAUAGUCGUCUUCCUCCGCCAAGUUAGGGCGUGGAAGAUCUACACAGACGAACUUCACCUCUCCACCUCACUGUUCGUCGUUUUCUUCAUCCAAGGUAAUUAAAAAUUACUUUUACUGUUGUAACACCCCGGAUGUAACUUUCCCAAUUCGUACUCCAACUCUUGCCGUUUCCGGCGUUAAGUUAUUUUAUUUUCUCGGAUUCGGGUUUUUGUCUCCGUGUGUUGUUGUCGUUUUCAUGCAUCUCAUAUCAUGUCAUCAUGUGCAUUGCAUUUGCAUACGUGUUUAUCUCAUGCAUUCGAGCAUUUUCCCCGUUGUCCGUUUUGCAUUCCGGCGCUUCGUUCUCCUCCGGUGGUCAUUUCUAGCUUUCUUUCGUGUGUGGGGAUUAAACAUUUCCGGAUUGGACCGAGACUUGCCAAGCGGCCUUGGUUUACUACCGGUAGACAGCCUAUCAAGUUUCGUACCAUUUGGACUUCGUUUGAUACUCCAAUGGUUAACCGAGGAACUGAAAAGGCCUCGUGUGUGUUGCAGCCCAACACCCCUCCAUUUUGGCUCAAAACCCACCUAAGCCUUCUCCAUCAUGUAGAGCGUUCGAGCACGAUCGCGUGGCCGAAAACCGCACCUCAUUUGGACUCUCCUAGCUCCCUCUAUGCCUAUAAAUAGGUCCUCCUCGAAAAUCUCGGAUCCCCCUCCCCGAAACCCUAAAUAUCGCCUCCGCGCCGGCCGGACAUUGUCCGCACGGACCGGACGCGUCCGCGCCGCCACCACCGCCCAAUCCUGUGCCGCCACGUGGCAUCUCCGCCGCCAGCCGCCGCCGCAGCCCGGCGGGCCCACAGCGGGUCCGCCUGGCCNNNNNNNNNNNNNNNNNNNNNNNNNNNNNNNNNNNNNNNNNNNNNNNNNNNNNNNNNNNNNNNNNNNNNNNNNNNNNNNNNNNNNNNNNNNNNNNNNNNNNNNNNNNNNNNNNNNNNNNNNNNNNNNNNNNNNNNNNNNNNNNNNNNNNNNNNNNNNNNNNNNNNNNNNNNNNNNNNNNNNNNNNNNNNNNNNNNNNNNNNNNNNNNNNNNNNNNNNNNNNNNNNNNNNNNNNNNNNNNNNNNNNNNNNNNNNNNNNNNNNNNNNNNNNNNNNNNNNNNNNNNNNNNNNNNCGCCGCACUGGGCCGCCGCAGCCACCGCCGACCCCGGCCACCGCCGUCCCCGACCUCAUCUCCGGCCGGAUCCGGCCGCGGGAGAGCCAGAUCUGCCGCCGCCGACCCCGGCCGCCGCCGUCUUCAUCGUCUCCGGCGAGUCCGCCGCCGCCUUGGUUCGCGCGCCGGGUCAAACCCUAGAUCCGCGCGGGGUAAAUUUCUUCUAACUCCCGAAAUUCCAGAUCCAAGUGCUCCUGUUCAUAGCCUCGUAACUUUGCAUCCGUAACUCCGAUUCAUGCAUAUAGCAUAUCGAAAUGUUCAUCUCAGAGAGUACAUCAUUUCAUUCCAUUGCAUCAUUUUCAUUUGAGUUCAUCUUGAUGCCCGAAAUGCUGUUAGAAGAGGGCUACUUGAGUUAAUUGUCAGAUCUGCUGCUCCAUUUAGCUUUUUGUCAUUUUUGCCAUGAUUAUUGUGUGCAUGAUAUGCCCUGAUGUUCUACAUAUAUUUUGUUAAGGGUUUUGUCAUCUUUCCAGAGGUGCAACCCAUGUAUUUUUGUGAUGAGUGUGGUGACUAGUGCAAGCUUGCAAAGUGGUGCACUUGCUAAUUCUGUUUUCAGGGACUUAGCAAUUCCACUAAGUCCUUGAUCUGCUUAUCUCAUAUUGCCAUAUGUUCAUGUUGUUUCCAAGUGAUUCGUGCCUCUUUUGAGGAUGAUCAGUAAGGAUGUUUUGUUAAUCUUGUAGUGUUCUAUCCAUCCAUGUCUUUGUUUGCAAUUAUGAAGCACCCUAGCUUGAGUCAAUCGAGCUCUACUUUUGCUACUUUGUGAAUCUGGGCAGAUUGUCAACUGGUUUGUAAUUUUGUCGAUGAUGUUGUAGUUGAUCCGUGCAUGCUAUGCUAUUGUUCUUGCCAUGUCUAACUUGCAUUUUGUGUGUUCUUGGUAGAUGUAUGCUUAGCUUGUCAUGACUUGCUCCGUAGUGAGUGCAUCGAGCUCGUAAACAUGCCUACUUGAUAUCUGUUUUCAGCAUGCUCCAGUUUUCACUAAGUCUGUGACCUGAUUAUGUUUUUGCUAUGUUCACAUGCUUGCAAUUGUAUUUUCUGAUCCCUUUUGGCUCAAGGUCACUAAGGGACUUUUGUUAAGCUCUUCGAGUAGCUCCAUGCCAUGAUUUACUUUGCCAUGUUCAGGUCCUGUAGCAUGUAGUUUUGCUGCUCCCAAGAGUGCUACCUGAUCUAAAAUUCCAGACAAGUGUUAAUUUCACCAAGUCUGAGAUCUGUUUGCCAUAUGCAUUUUUGCCAUGCUUGUUUGAACCUGUUAAUGGAUGAUUUGGCCGUAGCUCAGUGCUAGACUUUUGUCAAGCAUCUUGAAUGCAUCCCUGCCAUGUAUUUUGUUGUCAUGUUUGGGUGCUGUAGCAUGUUCAUCUCAUUACAUUUAGAUGGCUACUUGCUGUAAAUCGCAAAACGUGGCCAUAUUUGAAUCGCUUGCCAUUUCCAAACCGUAACUCCGAUUCCAAUGUUCUUUAUAUCGUUUUGAAGCAAUUUCAUCUCAUCUUUCCAGUGGCACACUUGGAUUUCCAAGUUGAGGCCAGGUUCUUGCUUUUCCUUGUCACAUCUUGCAUAUGCAUCCCGCAUCGCAUCCCGCAUAGCAUAUCAUCUUUGCAUCAUCUUGUUUGAUCCUUGCACGUGGUUGAUUUGUGUCCUUGUUGUUUGUUUGUUUUGUUUGGGUAGAGCCAGGAGACGGGUUCGCUAACGAGGAGCCCGUUGAGUUUGCUUUCGAGGAUCCAGUCAACUCUGACAACUGUGCAGGCAAGAUGAUCAUACCCUCGAAAUCACUACUAUCUUUGCUAUGCUAGCUUGCUCGCUCUUUUGCUAUGCCAAUGCUACGAUGCCUACCACUUGCUUUCAAACCUCCCAAAUUGCCAUGUCAAACCUCUAACCCACCAUGUCCUAGCAAACCGUUGAUUGGCUAUGUUACCGCUUUGCUCAGCCCCUCUUAUAGCGUUGCUAGUUGCAGGUGCAGAUUGGAGGUCGUUCCUUGUUGGAGCAUUUAUUUACUUGUUGGGAUAUCAUUAUAUUGCUAUGUUAUUCUUAAUGCAUCUAUAUACUUGGUAAAGGGUGGAAGGCUCGGCCUCUCGCCUAGUGUUUUGUUCCACUCUUGCCGCCCUAGUUUCCGUCAUAUCGGUGUUAUGUUUCCGGAUUUUGCGUUUCUUACGUGGUUGGGUUAUAAUGGGAACCCAUUGAUAGUUCGCCUUGAUUAAAGCUUUUCUAGCAAUGUCCAACCUUGGUUUUACCAUUCGCCACCUAGCCUCUUUUCCCUUGGGUUUCCGGAGCCCGAGGGUCAUCUUAUUUUAACCCCCCCGGGCCAGUGCUCCUCUGAGUGUUGGUCCCACCGAGCGAUGUCCGGGGCUACCAGGGGCAACUCUGGGCUGGCCUACCCGACGUUUGGCUCAUCUGAGUGUGCCCUGAGAACGAGAUAUGUGCAGCUCCUAUCAGGAUUUGUCGGCACAUUCGGGCGGUGUUGCUGGUCUUGUUUUAACCUGUCGAAGUGUCUUGAAUAACCGAGAUACCGAGUCUGAUCGGAACGUCUUGGGAGGAGGUCUAUUCCUUUGUUGACCGUGAGAGCUUGUCAUGGGCUAAGUUGGGACUCCCCUGCAGGGAUUUGAACUUUCGAAAGCCAUGCCCGCGGUUAUGGGAUGGGAAUUUGUUAAUGUCCGGUUGUAGAUAACUUGAACCUUAACUUAAUUAAAAGGAAUCAACUGAGUGUGUUACCGUGAUGGCCUCUUCUCGGCGGAGUCCAGGAAGUGGACACGGUGUUGGAGUAAUGUUUGCGCAGAUUGUUCUCUAAUUUCUCGCUCGUGCUUUGCCUCCUCUUCUCGCUCUCUUAUGCGAAUAAGUUAGCCACCAUAUUUGCUAGUCGCUUGCUGCAGUUCCACAUAUAUUUACCUUGCCUUACCUAUAAGCUUAAAUAGUCUUGAUCGCGAGGGUGCGAGAUUGCUGAGUCCCUGUGGCUCACAGAUUAGUAUUACACCAGAUGCAGGGCCUGAUGAUUCCGCUCUAGGAGACGCGUUUGAGCUCAAGUGGGAGUUCGACGAAGACUCUCAACGUUACUAUGUUUCCUUUCCUGAUGAUCAGUAGUGGUGCCCAGUUGGGGGUGAUUGGGACCGUGUCGCAUGUUGGGUUAUCUUUUGUUUUGACGCCGUAGUCGGGCUAUGAGUGUUUGGAUGAUGUAAUGUUAUUUAUGUACUUGAUUGACGUGGCGAGUGUAAGCCAACUAUGUUAUCUCCCCUUUGUUAUUUAUAUUACAUGGGAUGUUGUGAAAAUUGCCUAACUUGCAACAUAUGCCUUCAAUGCGAUUAUGUCUCUAAGUCGUGCCUCGACACGUGGGAGCUAUAGUCGCAUCGAGGGUGUUACAACUGCCCUCGUUGAUUCGAAUGAUUAUCUACAAAAUCUUCAAAGGUGUUUUUCUUCAUAUCUUCACACACUAAAACACCUCACAUAUCAUCUGUUCUUGAUUCGUUUCUCUAAGCUAUGUUUUUCUUCAAGAUUCCUCAAAUGUGUGGAUUUUUGAUCUACACAUCUCUGGAACCUAAGACAAAGAACGCUUAGUGAAAUUCUUCAAGACUCAUCUGGUCAAAUUCCUCAAACUUGUUCUUUUUACAAAACCUUCUGAGAACGCAUAUGACCUCUCCAAAUUCUUCGCAACUAUACUCUGUUCACAGGUACUCAUGUCAGCUGCUGAAUCACUAGGUUCUCAUCAACUUAACUCAUUUGCAGCAUUCCUCGAAGAAAAGUUGCAUACUUCUUCAGAGAAUUCAACUGUUCAUAUUCUUUAACUGAAGAAAAUGGCUGACGGUAAGAAGCCACAAAAAGGAGGAAAGAGGACUGAGGUCAACACAGUGUUUGAGAUCCCUGAUGAUAUAGAUGUUGGGCACUGCACACCUCCUGAGAAAGACAAAAAUCAGCGCAAGGUGCACAUUCAGAAGAUAGAGAGGAGAUGGGCGAGAGAGUGGAGGGAGUACAGGUAUGUUACUCCCAAGUACAUGAAGAAAUUCGCACUCAAUUCUGCAUGCCCAAGACCUCCAUUGGCACCUGGCCAAAUAGCUGAUCCCACCAGCCUCAAGCGCGGUGAGGACUAUCCUGAUGAAUGGGCCAAGCGCCAAGCCAAGUUGGCUAAGCAAGCUAGAGAAGUAGUGAGGAAAUUCAAUAAAGACUCUGCUGCUGCAGCUGCCUCUGCUGUCAAGCCAAAGAAGGCUAUGUCAAAGAAGCCUGCACGCAAGCCAAGUGCUUCACCAACAGAGCCCUCAAGGCCAAGUUCCUCAGCAAUGCCCUCACGGCUAGAAUCCUCAAAACCCUCACGGCCAAUUCCUCAUGCUGCUCCAGUUCCUCAAAAGUCCUCAUCUCCUCCGCCAAAGUCUUCGGCCGCUCCGACAAAGUCCUCUGCACCUGUGCAUCUCGCCACAUGUCAAAGGACCACAACGUCUCUAUUGCCUCAGGAGCUUCAGCUAGUUCCUCGGCUGCACCAAAUUCCUCAACGGGACCCUCUCUACUGAAGACAAAGGCCACUGCUGGACGAGGUCCUCGCCCUAGUCCUUAGAAGAAGCAGGUCGCCUUCCAAGUGCCUUCUAAAGAAGACGAAGCUGAUGAUGAUGAACUUGCUAAAAUCAUCAGAGAUAGGCAAGUCAGGACCGCUAGAGCCAAGGGAACAAAUGUGCCACUGCUUUUGGAUCCCAAGUUGAUCCUCGAAUACAUUGACGUUUGGCACAAGGACCCCAACACUCCCAUGCCUGACUUCAAGCUGACUCCUGGCCAAAGUCACAUGCUGACUCACUUCAUUCAAGAAGAAAAAUGGAAAUUUGAGAAGGCCAGGCAGAUCAAGAAAGCACAGUAUAAGAAGGAGCGCUAUCUGAAAAAAAAUGUUGUCUCUAUGACAACUAAAGAACUUGUCACUACUCAAUCUGAGAUCAAGAAACUCAGUGAUGAAUUUGACGCACACCAUGCUGAUUGGCUUGGAGUCAAAGUUCGUUUUGUGAGACUCGUUGGUAACUUCACCUCAAAUGUUGCAGCCCCAAUGCAACAGGAAGUUCCUCAGGCUGAAGCAUCUGUUCAGCCGACUGAAGAACAUGCCAGCUUCGCUGAUGAAAAUCAGGCUGCUGAAGAAAAUGUGAGUUCCAGGGCUGAUGCAUUCCAGCUGCUGAAGAAAUUGCCAGGGCAUCCACUAGUGGUGCGCCUGAAGAAACUGAAGAAAUUAGGGAAACUACAUCAGUUGUGCCUGAAGAAAAUCAACUAGAUUCCUCUGCUCCUCCUGCGCCAACACCAACUCCGAUACCUCCAUCUGCAUCAGAUGUGAAGAAAACCAAGGCUGCAGAGCGUGCAGCAGUGAAGAAAAGGAAAGCAUCAGCUACUUCAGAUUCUUCAGCUCCGAAGAAGAUGAAGCCUUUGACCAGUUCAUUUGCUAAUCUCAUUGAUGUUGUUCCAAUCUCAACCAUGCCAUCGAAGGACCUUGUUCUUUUUGAUGAAGAAUAUGUGAUCCCCAGCGGAUCUGAUGAAUAAACUCCUUCUGCUGCUUCGUCUGAGCAGUUGGAUGAAGAAAUUGAAGUGGAUACGAUCCCUUCAACACCUGUCAUCUCCUCGCCCAUGCCUCAGUUCACAGCUGAAGAGGCUGGCGUUGAAGAAAUGGAAGAUGAAGAUGUGUACGUUGGCUGCUCCACACCAGUAAUAAGUGAUGAAUUCUGGGAAAGUCAGCAUCCAAACUCUCCAAUGCUCACAUCGUUGCAGCAAAUACCUCAGUCACCUGCACAAACUGUUCAAAUGGGCUCUGAAGAAACUCACCCCACUUCAUCUGUGCGUGAAGAAAUUCCAGCCACUAGUGCUGAAGAAACUGCUGCUGCUGAACAUCUGAAGACACAGACUGUCAGUGAAGAGAAACCAGAAAUUUCUCAGCCUGAAGAACCUGAGAUUGCGAUUCCUGAGGUCGUGAUGCAACUCACUGACACUCCUCUGCCCAAACCAAAGGAUCCAUUCUCGCGCAAGCAAAAGUUCAAGGCUGAUGAUUUCUUCGGCGAGCAUGUAUUCUUCGAAGACUACAACCCUUAUAACUCUGCUCGCAUUAGGAAGAGGCGUUUCUGGACUGCUAGUCAAGCCAAUUUCUAUUCCUCAGUGCUGUUCAACAAAGAGAAAAUCUUCUACCAUGAGCAUAUUCCUCACGUGGAUAUGGAAUCUCUGUCAUGCUUCGCACCAGUCCUCAGUGUUCUUCACGACACUGGACUGUUAAAUUUUUGCUCUGACAUCUAUGAUUGGAAUGAAGAACUAAUUCUUCAAUUUUAUGCAACGCUGCACAUCACAGGAGAUUCUGAAGAUGUGAAUUCAUGGGUGCUAGACUGGAUGUCUGAAAACACUCACUACACCGCACCAGCGUCUGAAUUGCUUCGUGCCUUACCACUCAGUCCUCCCCUUGAAGAAGCUCGUUGCAUCUACAGUGAACCUGAGCUUACAAAUCACUACAUGCAGGUUCUGAUGAAACCUUUGAAGCCAGGUCAGGCCCCACGAACCAAAUUCCUCGUGAAGGAAUUACUCUAUGUGCCCAGAACUGUCUAUCGUAUUCUUACGAGGACAAUGAGUCCUAUCAAAGGCCACGACUCAUCUGAUAAGGAAAUUGUUGGCAUCAUGAAGAAUCUGGUAUUCAACAUCGUACAUGGCAUUUCUGUCAAUUAUCACGAUUUCUUCAUGAGGACUCUGGCAAAUGUUGCACUGUCUCCGUUUGAGCUGAAGCCUUAUGCACCUUGGAUUAUGAGAUUCCUCAGGACAAGGUCUUCACUCAACUACAAAGCUGAUUUUCAGAAUCACCUCAGUUACUUGCCCCCAAUUGAAGUCCUCAAGCAGACCUAUUCCUCAGUUGAUGAAAAGGGCAAGGACCAAUUGUUAUAGAUGAAGGCAUUCGUUCAUUGGAUGGUCGGUUUCGCAAAGCUGCCUCUUAUUCCACCAAUGAUGACUCUGCCACACAUGACUCUGGCAAUGCAUCCAAGUCUACUCCUCAAGCCACUGCUCCUCGUGUGAUGACUGAUCGUGAGGUUCUGCUUAGUCUUCACCAGAAGGUGGAUCAAAAUCAUAAAUGGGUUAAGCAUCAGUUUGGUUCAUUUCUUCACAACAUGACUGCUACACACAAUGCAGUGAAGAAAAACCAUUACUACCUCCAUGAAGUCUUCGGUCGCACCUGGGCAAUACUGCCAUAUCUAUAUGGUGAAGAAGAUCUGAAGAAAAUGGGUCUCAAGGAAGAUUUUGACUGGUCUGAACCUCCACCGAAGAAAUUCAAGAAGGACAAGGUUCCUUCUCUGGUGGCCAGCUCAUUUUAUUCAUCGCGCGACACUGAUGAGAAUGAAGACUUGGAUGACACUACGGCAGGCCCUACUACGACAAACGACCCCAACAACGCUGGUGCUCCUUCAUCAACUUGAUAUUCUUCAGGGGCGUUAGUCCUCAUAUUCGAUCCUUUUGGUCACUUGAUGACAAAGGGGGAGAAUUUUGAGUUAGUUUUCAAGCGGGUCUUUCUAUAUGGGCGUUUUUUUCAAGUUACAAAUCUCGUUCUUCUGAGACUUUAUUGGAUCGAGUUGUAAACUUAAACCCGAUGUUGCUCUAAUACUCUUGAGACAUUUUUUCUGCAUGCUUAUUCCUUGUUAAUAUUAUUGCACGCAUGCUGAAUUACAUCAGUCACCAUAUUUCAUCAUGCAUUUCAAAUUCUUCACUGUUAUAUGUCAAAUGCGUGUAUGAAUUACAAGAUAUAGGAGGAGAUCUCCAUGAUUCAACUCUUCAAGUGUGCAUUACUUCAAAAGCAAAUUCCUCACUAUGCACAUAUUCGGGAGGGGGGGUCUUCUAUAUCUUGCAAUCAAAUUUCUCAAUAUCAGUAUUUACACUUCAUAUGUUUAUCCUCAUUGAAAACUUAACCUAUAUUGUCAUCAAUCACCAAAAAGGGGGAGAUUGUAAGUGCAUCUAGUGCCCCUUAGUAAUUUUGGUGUAUUGAAGACUUAUAGGUUAAGGGACUAAUGCAUUUAUGAGUGUACACAGGUCUAUAAGUCUAUGAAGAGUUUGAUAUUUACAGAGAAAGUCGACCCCUAAAAAUGAAGUUCUUUGACUGAAGACUUUGGCUUUCUGAAGACUUUGAAAGUGAAGAAAUUGGUGUGACCUUGAAGACUUCGUAUUCAUUCGAGGAACAUGAAGCGUGAAGACUUUUGUUUUCGUAGUUUUAUUUUCUCUUUCUUGAGUCAUAGGAAACAUCGUACUGUUAAAGGGGGUCGAGGAAAUACUAAGAAAAUAUUUUCAUGUGAUGCUCAACUCAAAAUCUUACACCUACCAAUCCCUUCGAGUGAAGCCAUUGGAAAUCUCAUAUAGUCUAGUCAUAUUCUUCAGUGACAGAGUAGAAGUUCUUAUGAUCUCUCAGGAAUUUAUUCUGACUGGGGAGUUAGGAAUUCGCCAGUGCGGAUUGCCUACACAGUGAGGAACAUGAUAGCCCUGGGAAUUUUGCUACUCAAAAUUCCGAUCAUUGAUGUGCUAUGCGCCAGCUGUCCCAAAAUAUCUACCCACCUAACGGUCAUAUCAUUAAAGGGCAUUUAUGUCUUAUCAUGUCGGGCUGCUCCCUGGGCUAUAAAUAGCCGCCCCCUACAACCACUAGCUGGUUGGCUGCUCCGAGAGAAACUGACACUUGUCAUUUGAGAGCAACCCAUCCUCUGAGGACUUUGAGCGAAAAUCAUCAAGUUAGGAAAAACCCAAACACCUACAAACCCCAAGUGAUUGAGUAUCACUGAAGAGAUUGAUCCUGUGUGGAUCCGACGCUUGUUACCUUUGAAGACUGUGCUUCUUCCAGACGGUUAGGCGUCAUGGUCUAGAGCAUCCAAGAGGAAUUGUGGAUCACCGAGUGACCAAGUUUGUGAAGGUUUGGAAGUCGCCUGAAGACUUACCACGAGUGAUUGGGCGAGGUCUGUGUGACCUUAGCUCAAGGAGAAUACAGUGAGGACUUGGUGUCCUGAGCUACGUGCUCAGGACUGGGUGUCCGGGACUAUGUGUCCUCGAGUUUAAAUACUCAACCGCUCCAACCAGAUGUACAACUGAGACAGCAGUUCGAACUGGUCUACUAAACCGUUGUCUUCAUCAAGCUUACUGGUUCUAUUUCCUCAACUCUUUCAUUUCCUUGUUGUGUGCUUGUUCAUAUCUGUGUUUGAAGACUUUGACUGAAGACUUUCUCAAUUUCCUUAGUUCAAUUUCUUCAGUCUAUUUGUCUUCAUCUUGUGUUAUCAUGUGCUUACGCUUCAUGUACUCUGUGCCUGUCGUCAUUUCAUCAUGAUGACUAUGCUUAUGUUCUGUUAUGUUUACUUUUGAGUACUUAUUCCGCUGCUAGUAGUUCUUCGCUAAGGAAUUUCCUCACCGGCAAAUUCCUCAGUGAAGAAUUUCAUAANNNNNNNNNNNNNNNNNNNNNNNNNNNNNNNNNNNNNNNNNNNNNNNNNNNNNNNNNNNNNNNNNNNNNNNNNNNNNNNNNNNNNNNNNNNNNNNNNNNNNNNNNNNNNNNNNNNNNNNNNNNNNNNNNNNNNNNNNNNNNNNNNNNNNNNNNNNNNNNNNNNNNNNNNNNNNNNNNNNNNNNNNNNNNNNNNNNNNNNNNNNNNNNNNNNNNNNNNNNNNNNNNNNNNNNNNNNNNNNNNNNNNNNNNNNNNNNNNNNNNNNNNNNNNNNNNNNNNNNNNNNNNNNNNNNNNNNNNNNNNNNNNNNNNNNNNNNNNNNNNNNNNNNNNNNNNNNNNNNNNACAACUUAUAGUGUGCUAGUUUCUUUUUACCUUCAUAUGGUGUGCUAUUAGCAUAGUAGUUUUUUUAUUUUCAAGUAUUUCGUAGUAGUUAGGCGCUGGCUAGGCAACUAGGGCGCUGGCCAAGCAGAUGUGCAGCGCGGCAAACAUCAACGAAAUGUAAGCGAGCCGUUCAUACCAGCUUUAAAUGCGCCCAGGAGGCACAUAGUGUUCAUUCGGGAGCGACUACAAUAGAAGAAGGGUCAUGGGUGCAAAAAUAGAAAAACAUAUCUGAGCCACUGGAUCGUAGGUGGAUGGCACAAAUUUUGAUGAAAGGAUCUCAUCCACUUAUGUAUAUUUUAUGAAAAAACCCUACUAGCAAUUAGUUCUAAAACAAAACUUUUGCAGUAAUCACCUCAAGUAUUUCAUCUCUCUCCAUUCAUUUUGUCCAACGACCCCAAAUAUUUGGGGUGAUAUUUCAUCUCGCCUACUAGCAAUUAGUUAUAAACAAAAUUUGCACAGUGAUGAAGCCCCAUAAAAUCUUUGCACGUAUCUACUUUAUGAAAACCAUGCAUAUUUCAGUAUUCAUAUAUGGUUGUCACUGCAAAGCCACCCUUUGAAGCUGAAUAUGGUUGUCACUGCAAAAACAUGCACAUUUCAGUGGCUUGUACUCCAUCACUAAUUAUGCAAAAAGAAGUUGAAUAUGAUUGUCACUGCAAAGCCACCGUUUGAAGCAUAACUAACAUCAGACUGGACCAUCCCGGAUUGAGCAUAUCACAAGCAUACAUAUCUUGAUGAGACAUGGUAGCAUCAUUUUUAGUACAUGGCCAACAAGACAGAGUAAAUAUGAUCACCACUCAACAUGCAUUGCUAUUUAAAACGAUAAGCUCUACUAUCUUGAUGGUCAUAAUAGAAAAGCUCUAGCAUUCCCCUCCAGUUCUACCACUUCUUGCUCAUAAGCUUCUUGUUCUGGGAGAGGUCACACCAAGCAAACACGAUUCAGUUGAGCACAGACACGUACAGAUGCAUAAUCAAAAAACACAGUUAAAUAUAUCUUCCAUAGAAAUUCUCUCAAUCGUCAGAAAGGGAAGACUUUGAUAAAAGCUUCUUAUAUCCAUCUGCGGUCUUGAUGUUUCCGGUUGUCAGGGCAUCAUGCAUCUACAAAUACAAGGAAAAAAAUAUACUUUACAUUACAAGGAAAGAAAUAGGAAAUUAUGUUCUCUAAUCCUGAUCGUGUAUAUGUAUUGAACAAUUAAUAAUGCAAUUCAAGUUCUUUUGCUAACUCAUAGAUGACAAAAGUAAAACCUUGAUGCUGCAGCACAGAGGCACAUGUCAGACCACUGAAGAGAAACUUACUUACGAAGCCUUUUAUCCCAAACAAGUUGGGGUAGGCUAGAUAUGAAACCCUUUCACGAGGACUUCCCAGGAGGUCACCCAUCCUAGUACUACUCUCGCCCAAAUGGGUUUCAUACCCAAAAGAUGGCUAGUUUUUAUGUUGGCUCGCCAAGCCUAUCACAACCCUUAGAUAUGAAACCCUUUCACGAGGACUUCCUAGGAGGUCACCCAUCCUAGUACUAUUCUCGCUCAAAUGGGUUUCAUACCUAUGGGACUGGCUAGUUUUUACGUUGGCUCGCCAAGCCUAUCACAACCCUCCUCCUUUACCCGGGCUUGGGACCGGCUAUGCCUAGAAGACAUAGGCGGAGUUAGACCACUGAAGAGAAAACGAAAAGAAUAUCGUACGACAAAAUAUAUUUACAAUUUGACAAUGACUGAUCAAUUGUAUCUAUUUUCACAGCUCGUCAUCCCAAUAAGACUUGCAUACAACUUACGACCGGCUAUACUGAUGUAUUGAUAUUACAUUAUAAGUUUUAUGGCUCAAUGGAUGGUUAGCAACCGAAGGACUAUCCCAAGUCAAGCCCAAGUAGGUCAAAACAAUCAGCCAUUUACUCCCUCCAAUGGACAUUUCCUGCUAAUUAUAUCCUGUGACCUAAUAUUGCCUUAGUGCACACAUAUUUGCUGACAGCAGCACUACAAGUGCAGGCCACAAUGUUUUGCAUGUGCACUGAAGCUGUUGGUUUCCACUCCUGUAAAGCGCCUCUUAUUGGUCAGGUACUUUUAAUUUAGCACCAAAGACACAAAGAAAUGGUGAUUUUGUGGUAAUAUGAGUAUAAACAAUACCAUUUGUUUGGAAGGAAAAUUAUAGACAAAUUCUAUACUGGACAGAGAAGCCACUGGAAAAUUUAAUCACUCCAGAGCAGUCAUGGGUUCGAGAAGAAUAAUAUUACCUAUGACCAGUAAACCACAAAGAUAGCCUAAUGAUGGACAUACAAUAAUGGCAAAGAAAUUCAAUAAGAAGCAUUAGUGAAUUAAUCUCUGCAGACGAGGUAGCAUCGCUGAAAUCUUGAUUUUGAGCACUACUAUUGACCGAUUCCACGACUGCAAACAAAUAUUCAGCAAAAAACACCAAAGAAGGGAUUAACGGAAAAUUAGGUAAUGACAAAAUUUUCUUGCCUUUCUGGACUAUAUCUUCUCACCUGGUAGUGUUGGUAUAAAUUUUGCAAUUACUGGAACUGUGGGCUCUCCUGAAGGCUAUGUCUCACUACUUCCCUCCAUUUCAGUUCAAGAUGCAACACCAAAACAGCGGAGAACAAACUUAGUACUAGUUGAAGAGCUUCGAUCUAUCCGUCGUACGCAGAGAAGAAAUUGAGAAAUCAGCCCCAAUUCCAAGAUUGUAAUGUUAAGGUUGCAAACUAAAAAGAUAUACAGAAAGAGAGUCUUUUCUACAUACAAAAGGUGAAAAAGUUGCCAUUGUUCUUUUUGCAAUCGUAGUAUCAUAAAAGCUACAUGAGGAAAACCAAAGAGCUAGUAUAAUUGUUUCACCAAACCAAAUUUGUCAUGAUUGUAGUUUCAAUGACAUUAUACUGGAAAAAUAGAUAUUGAACUCUCAGAAAUCAGUGAAGUGGCACAUAUUGCAAGUGUAACGAAUUUCAGUCUUGUGCCUGCAAGCACUUCACAUGCAGGUAAUUUAAUAGGUAGAUGAGAUUAGUUUGUUCCCAUGUACAAUAUCCGAGAAGAGGAUGAAAUUUCAAAAUACAGAACUGCUCGAAAAUCUAGUAAAAGCAUAGCAAGCUUGUCCAGUGAUUAAUAUUUAUGUUCAUGGAUACGAGAGAUAUCCAAUGUUUUAAAUAGCAGGCUAUGGCAUAUAGCGGCGACCCUUAAAAACAGCUAUAGCUGAGCUAUAGCGGGCUAUAGCGAGGCUAUAGCGGCAAAUUGUGCAUGAAAUCAUUUAGCGGCAACAUGCUCAAACAGCUAUAGCGGAGCUAUAGCGGGGCUAUAGCCGGCUAUUUAAAACUAUGGAGAUAUCCCUGUUAUUCCUAUCAAGUUGAAAGAAACCAUAUCCCAGCAGCGCAUGAACUAGCUGCUCAGUCAAAAAAUUUAAGUAAGCAGACAUUAUAUUUUUUGUUAUGGCUAAUCAACACCGAAUCUUUCCAAAUUAACUGAAUUUGGUACUCAAAUUAGCUUAGCCAGAAUCACAGGCAUCGAAUGCCCCAACAUAAUCUAAACAUGUACUACUAAUUUCCACCAUCUCAACAAUGUCCUGAUUUAGAUUUAUGGCAUAGGCAUACGGUCUCCCCUAGGCAUACCGACAGAAGAUGGGACAGUGGCUGUUGUCCUCACGCUUCAGAAACCAUCCCAGUGAAAAUUUGUUUCCCAAACCAAACGAUACAACCACCCAAGGAGCUAAGAAGCUCCGGGAUCAAGAUGGAAGAACGUGGGCGCGGGCGGAGUCGAGUACCUGCCGAGGGCGCGGAGGUCGUCGAAGUGGCGGUGCAUGGAGACCUCCUCCUUGGCAACAACACCCUCGUUCCUCUCGAUGCGCUGUGCGGCGGCGCGCUGGCGGUGACGAAGAGCAGAGUACUUGUCCGCACAGGGGAGGUCUGUCGAGGCAGCCAGGAAGCCGACAAGACGGUCGGGUGCUGGAUCUGGACCUCCGCUGGGCGCAGUCGCCCAGCUAGCCACCGGAUCUGGCCCGCCGCCACCGUCGGCAAGCCCUUGCUAUCGCCCAGCUACACAUUGGAGGAUUUUGGGUCUGCAUUGUUGCGUUCUUAGGAAGGAG